This 49096-nucleotide long non-coding RNA is filed under the name Triticum aestivum (bread wheat). RNAcentral describes it as "long non-coding RNA (TAES_LNC025882)". The stretch from base 47107 to 47242 matches the Rfam family "MIR1120/MIR1122 microRNA precursor family". Lineage: Eukaryota; Viridiplantae; Streptophyta; Magnoliopsida; Poales; Poaceae. The record is from RNAcentral.
UUUUUUUUUGUAAAACAGGCAAACUCUGGAUGAAUAGACAAAUUCACAGAUCCUGAAAAAACAUCCACGGGCUGAAUCUGGGCGGACUGGGCUGCUCACAUUGGGCUUGAGGAGGCGCUGGGCAUCUGGGCUGCGAGCGAAGCAGAGGAGCUGGGCCUUGGUGCCUGUCGAUGGAGGCGGCCCAGUUUGGUGGAUCUCGAAGCCGAUUGGCUUGGCACUGGGCCUUGGCGCGAUUGAACCAGGAGGCAAGGCGUGGUUAACGCGUCCACGACCCGCGUAUGGCAACGGUCGACUUGUCUCGGCCCGCACGAAGCAGAGGCACGGCGAGGCGGGACUUGAGUGGCCGGAGCGACCGGAACGGGAGGCAGAGCUCGCCGGGGAUGGAGGGGUCCGGGCACGGGUCCAUGCAAAUGGGGCGGCGUGCUCCGGUGGAAGGGGCGCAGGGCUUGCGGAGACGGCGACGAACGGAGCAGGGCGGCGGAGGAGCUGCAAGGACAUGCAGGGGAACAAGUUCAGAGAAGAAGCGGUGAGGGAGGAAGGAAAAACGAGAAGGAGAGGGACGGGAAGAGGGAGGUGGACCAGGAUCCCGUCGCAGGAGGUCGCCGGUGUGCCCAUUCCCUGCUGGAUCAACACGGCGGCAGGCUGGCGGACUUGGAGCUCCAAGCUUCGAAGGGCGCGGCCAUGGCGUGGUGCUUCUGUGGGGAAAACACAGAGAGGGGCGAACGUGAGAGGAGGGAGACGGGGAGGAAUAACUGCCGGAGGAGGAAGGAGAAGAAAGGGAAGGCACCGGGCACAGGGAACCUCGGGAGGUUGCUGCUUGGUGGUCCAGCGAGGUCCUGCGGGGGCGCUCGAGGCAGCAGGGGGUCGGGGAGGCCAUGGCAGUUCCUGCCAACGGCAAGAGGUCAGGCCACACGGAGAGGCAGGGGCGACAAGAAGAAACAGGGGGAGAAAAGGAGGGCGGCGACUCAUCUGCUAGCUGAUUCGGGCACUCGGGAGGAGCUCGUCUCCCUGGGUCGACGAGGAGAGAGAGGAGGGAGAGGAUCGAUGGGCUUGGGUGGAUCGAGGGGAAGCAGAGGCUGGUUGGUUCGGUGGUGAAAUCGAGGAAGGGAAGGAGACGGCGCUGGUUGGGCAGGUGGAUCGGGGUGGAUCCCGAUGGGGAUUUGGUGGAAUGGCGGCGGCGGCUGGGAGGAUGGGACAUCUCUCCUCAAAUUUAGGGUUGGACUAUAUAUAUAGCAAAAGGAUUUUUGGGUAGGGGCUAAUUCGUCCCUCCGAUCGUAAUCGGAUGGUCGGGAAAAGUAGGUAGGGAGCCCAAAUAAGAAAACGGAGACAUUUUGUAGAUGUUUGGGGAUGAUCCGGACACAACGGUGGCGAUAGUCCGGGUCGGGUUCGGGACAACUUUCGGAUGCACAUGUGAGGAGGGCCGCGAGCUGACGAGAGAGGUUAGGUUGGGCCUGGCGGGAAGCAGUGGGCUGUGUAGACGGUCUCGAGCUGAGAGAAGGGAAGAGAGAGAGAGAGAGAGAGAGAGAGAGAGAGAGAGAGACCGGGUGACUGUUUCCGGAGACCGAAAACGUCCGACGUUAGACCGGCUAUAAUACCGCUAUAGUUUAACGGUUGGGCUAUCAAACGAACUCCGAAUGUGAUGAAACUUGACAGGCGGUCUAUCUACACUAUAAUAAGACUGCACGCCAAAUUUCAACCCAAUCCGAGAACAUUUUCCGGCCACUUAUAAAAUAAUAUUUCGGACGUGCCGCGGGCGCGUGCAAGUGUGUCUGGGUUCAGAACGGACAACGGAAAGAACAAGGAGACCGGGACGGAUGCAAGUUUUGAAAACAUGAUGAUGCAAUGCACAUGAUGGCAUGGUAUGCAAUGCAUGACACACAAGCACAUGACAAGGCAACAACAACGAAUAACUGGAGGACACCUAGCACAUCGGUCUCGGGGCGUCACAGUUUAUCCCUCUACAUCAUGUCAUCUUGCCUAAUGCGCUCUGUUCUUAUGAACUUAAUACUCUAGAUGCAUGCUGGAUAGCGGUCGAUGUGUGGAGUAAUAGUAGUAGAUGCAGAAUCGUUUCGCUCUACUUGUCGCGGAUGUGAUGCCUAUAUACAUGAUCAUGACUAGAUAUUCUCAUAAUUAUGCACUUUUCUAUCAAUUGCUCGACAGUAAUUUGUUUACCCACCAUAAUACUUAUGCUAUCUUGAGAGAAGCCACUAGUAAAACCUAUGGCCCCUAGGUCUAUCUUCCAUCAUAUAAGUUUCCAAUCUAUUUUAUUUUGCAAUCUUUAUUUUCCUAUCUAUAUAAUAAAAAUACAAAAAAUAUUUAUCUUAUUAUCUCUAUCAGAUCUCACUCUCGUAAGUGACCGUGAAGGGAUUGACAACCCCUUUAUCGCGUUGGUUGCGAGGUUCUUAUUUGUUUGUGUAGGUGCGAGAUGACUUGCAUGUAGUCUCCUACUGGAUUGAUACCUUGGUUCUCAAAAACUGAGGGAAAUACUUAUGCUACUUUGCUGCAUCACCCUUUCCUCUUCAAGGGAAAAACCAACAUAGUGCUCAAGAGGUAUGAAAGGGAUCGAGAAGAGGUGUCUAGAGGGGGGGUGAAUAGACACUUAGCAAAGAAAAGUGGCAGUUUUCAAUUUCUUCAAGUUGAGGUGGAGUAUUAGCACAUGUUUAAACAUUCACAAUACAUAUCAAGCAAGCAUGACAAGAGUAUAUAGGCAGCAGAAAGUAAAGCAUGCAACUUUGCAAGAAUGUAAAGGGAUGGGAUUGGAGUUUGCAAACGCAAUUGGAGACACGAAGAUUUUUGGCGUGGUUCCGAUAGGUGGUGCUAUCGUACAUCCACGUUGAUGGAGACUUCAACCCAUGAAGGGUAACGGCUGCGCGAGUCCACGGAGGGCUCCACCCACGAAGGGUCCACGAAGAAGCAACCUUGUCUAUCCCACCAUGGCCAUCACCCACGAAGGACUUGCCUCACUAGGGUAGAUCUUCACGAAGUAGGAGAUCUCCUUGCCCGUACAAACUCCUUGGUUCAACUCCACAAUCUUGACGGAGGCUCUCAAGUGACACCUAACCAAUCUAGGAGACACCACUCUCCAAAAGGUAAUAGACGGUGUGUUGAUGAUGAACUCCUUGCUCUUGUGCUUCAAAUGAUAGUCUCCCCAACACUCAACUCUCUCCCAUAGGAUUGGAUUUGGUAGAAAGAUGAUUUGAGUGGAAAGCAACUUGGGAAGGGCUAGAGAUCCAGAUUUAUGUGUUUGGAAUGGAAUAUAUUAACCUCAACACAAGUGUAGGUGGUUCUCUCUCAGAAAAUGUAUGAUGGAAGUGUAGGCAUGUUCUGAUGGCUCUCUUUUUGAAUGAAGAGUGGCUGGAGGGGUAUAUAUAGCCUCCACACAAAAUCUAACCGUUACACAUAACUUGCCAAACUCGGUGGGACCGAAUCAGAAAACUCGGUCAGACCAAUUUAGUUCAUAAUGUGACCGUUAGGAGUUUCGGUGGGACCGAUAUGAUCAACUCAGUAGGACCAAUGUGCUAGGGUUAGGGUAAAGCCUCAUCUCGGUUUGGCCGAUUACACAAACUCGGUGGGACCGAUUAGGGUAAUAAGUGAAACAGAGAGUUGGCCAAGCAAACUCGGUGAGACCGGUUGCAUAUUUCGGUGGGACCAAAAUUAUUGUAAUAGGCAACAGAGAGUUUGCAAGCCCAUCUCGGUGAGACCGAGAUCCCAUCGGUGAAACCGAAUUGGCUAGGGUUUCUGGCAAUGGCUAUGUCAACAGAACUCGGUGGCGCCGGAUAGAAAGAUUCGAUAGGGCUUAGUUUGUCUUUUGGUUUGGGAAAAAUGUGGAUGUGAGAAAGUGGUUGAGGGCUUUGGAGCAUAUCACUAAGCACUUUGAGCAAGCAAGCCAUUAAGCAACACCUCAUCCCCUUUUAAUAGUAUUGGCUUUCCUAUGGACUCAAUGUGAUCUUGGAUCACUAAAAUAGAAAAUGUAGAGUCCAAAGCUUUGAUCUUGAGCCAAUCCUUUGUCCUCAUCAUCUUGAUGGGGUUCCACAUCCUCUAGUCCAUGCCACUCCACUGUUGAACUUAUCUGAAACAUACUAGAUGAAAACAUUAGUCCAACAAGAGAUAUGUUAUCAUUAAUUACCAAAAUCACCCAGGGAGCACUUGUGCUUUCAGUCUCCCCCUUUUUGGUAAUUGAUGACAACAUACAUUGAAGCUUUAGAUAAAGAUAUGAAGAAUGACGAGUAAAGCUUUGGAACGAUAUGUAACAUGCAUAGGCUCCCCCUACAUGUAUGCAAUCAUGUAAAUAUGGAAUAUAGGAGCAUGUGAAUGCAUAAGCAUGACAGAGUAAGCCAUGAGUUACAUGUAUCUUGGCUAUAUGCAUUAGAGUAAAUGGUGUGAGUAUGGGAAAUGUACCUACAUGCUCAUGAGUCUUUCUUGCAAACAGUAUGUACAUCAGCAAGAAAUCCUCAUGCACAUGAAUGUGAUGCAUAUACUUACCUUGUGGUCUUGAGCUGGCAUUGAGAGAGAUGAACCUGGGUAAACAAGGUUAGAUAACACAGAAACUUCUACUAAGCAAAGCAAACAACAAACCACAAGAGUACCAAGAUUGGGAUGACAUGUAGAGAGUGAAUACUAGGUACUCUAUUGUAUAUAGACAUGUCCCCGAAAGGUAAAGAUAUGCAAUGAAUUCAAUGAAUUCCUUCCCUAGCGGUCUUUCUCCCCCUGAAUCUUGUAUUGGAUAGUGGGAGACCAUACGGAAGCAAAAUCAGAGUAAAACAGAUCAUAAACAUAAGCAUGACAUAGACAUGUCUUUUCCCCUCUUAAAGACAUGUGACUUCUCUCCUCUUGUACGCCAAGCAUCUGGGAUCUUUGAUGUGAUUACCUCCCUCUCCCUUUUUAUCUCUCUCCCCCUUUGAAGAGAAUAAGCUUUGAUGUGAUCUCUCUCCCCCUUUGACAUCAAUUUCCAAGAAGGGAUCUUCUGGAGUGUGAGUCAAAAUAGGUUUGGUCCUUGAGUCACAAAGCAAAGCAGCGUAUGUAAUGUGAUGCUGGUAGAGGACAAGAAUCAUUGAGUGGAGCUGGAAUAAAACUAUAGGAACAUAUGGCAAAUUGUCUUCUCUACAGUGAAAUCGAUGAUAUCGAGUUGUAGUCUUCGGUGGUACCGAAUUGGUUCGGUUUGACCGAAAGCAAUAGAUCGGUAUGGCUGAGUUCAACACAGAGAGAACACUUGUCACCUCAGCUCACUAGGCAAAUAAGAUCUCUCAGGGAUUUGCAAGGAAUUAAAUGAAGUAUUUGCAAUGAAUUGGAUGCAGAAAAUGUAGAACAAAACAGAUAAAGGAAAAUCUAGAUGAAGUUGGGAACACCAUGCAAAGGACAAAUAAAAAAACUCAGAAAAACACUAGAGAACUUCAUCUAGAAAUGGGCGGUGACAAAGUCACCUAUGUUAGAGUAUAUUGACUGGGGGGUCAAGUGAAAACACUUGAUCGUAGCUCAUACUCAUCGUUUAAGCUCAAAAUGGGGUUACCAUUUUUCAUUUAAGCAUUUGAUGUAUUCACAUCUUGUUGAGCUGCUUUGACCCAUAUCUUGGGGUAAAGCUUCUCUAAGAUGGAAUGGCAUACCUUGGGUGGUGGUGUUGAUCUUAGUCAUGUAUUUGAACUUGUGUGGGUUGCUCAAGGUUGGUGUAGCUCAUCAAGAGUUGGGAGCACCACUUGGAAGUGAGUUCAUCUACCUACAUGGGUUAGUUUUGCAAGGAAGAGCACUUGUGUGUCCAAAAUGACAAUCAUGAAAUUUGAUACCAAAUGAAAUUUGAUAUAUAGAAUUUGUCAAAGGAUAUGUUGAAGGGUUUCAUGCUUCCUUGUCUUCAACCACCAUUGUAUAGAGACUUGGUGAUGUAGAGAUUUCUCAAGAUCUGAGUGAGUUGCAAUCUCAUAGAUUCAGAUUCAUCCAAGUAUCUACAAGGGUUAGAUAGCAUGCAAGGGUACAAAUAUAUCCAAAUGAUUAUCAUCAUAAGAGAACAGUCAAGGGUUAGUCAUAGUCUCAUGCCUUGCAUGUAUCCAAAUGGAGUUCAUACUCCAAGUUUGAAGCAUCAAUGAUGUCCAAUUCACCUCUCAAACGGCAAAAGACUUUUUCAUCAAGCGGUUUGGUGAAUAUAUCCGACAAUUGCUUAUCGGUACAAACAUGUUUAAGAUCAAUGUCCCCUUUAGCAACAUGAUCUCGAAUGAAAUGAUGACGAACUUCAAUAUGCUUAGUUCGGGAAUGUUGCACGGGAUUGUGAGCAAUAUUAAUAGCACUCUCAUUGUCACAAAGCAAUGGAACAUGUUUCACAUUGAUCCCAUAAUCUUUAAGAGUUUGGGUCAUCCAAAGUAAUUGAGCACAACAUGAACUGGCGGCAAUGUAUUCCGCUUUGGCGGUGGAUAAGGAUACCGAGUUUUUUUUAUUGGAGGACCAAGACACAAGAGAUCUACCAAGAAAUUGACAAGUACCGGAAGUGGACUUUCUAUCAACCUUGUCUCCGGCAUAGCCCGAGUCGGAAUAGCCAACAAGAUCAAAAGAGGACCUCUUAGGAUACCAAAUGCCAAAAUUUGUUGUAUGUAUUAAGUAUCUCACUAUCCUUUUCACAGCCUUAAGAUGACAUUCUUUGGGGGGCGCUUGAUAUCGUGCGCACAUGCACACACUUAGCAUAAUAUCAGGACGGGAGGCACAUAGAUGUAAUAAUGAACCCAUCAUAGAGCGAUAAACCUUUUGGUCAACCAGUUUUCCAUCCUUGGUUAAGUCAAGAUGUCCACUGGUAGGCAUGGGAGUUUUCAAACCUUUGCAUUCUUGCAUAUUGAACUUCUUGAAUAAUUCCUUGGUGUACUUUGUUUGAGAAACGAAGGUGCCUUCCUUAGUUGCUUGAUUUCCAAACCAAGAAAGAACUUGAGUUCACUCAUCAUAUACAUCUCAAACUUCUAUGACAUUAGCUUCCCAAACUUUUCACUAAAAUGAGGGUUAGUCGAACCAAAUAUUAUAUCAUCAACAUAAAUUUGGCACACAAAUAAUUCACUGUUAACCCUUUUAGUAAAAAGAGUAGAAUCUAUUUUUCCAAUCUCAAAGCCUUUUUCAACAAGGAACUUGGUCAAGCAUUUAUACCAUGCUCUAGGAGCUUGUUUAAGACCAAAGAGCUUUGUGAAGUUUGUAUACAUGAUCGGGUUUCUAAGGAUUGACAAAGCCGGGAGGUUGUUUAACAUAAACUUCCUCCUCAAUUUCACCAUUUAGAAAAGCACUUUUAAUGUCCAUUUGGUACAAGGUGAUAUCAUGGUGAUUAGCAUAGGCAAGUAAGAUGCGUAUGGACUCAAGUCUAGCAACGGGGGCAUAUGUCUCACCGUAGUCCAUACCUUCGACUUGAGUGUAGCCUUGGGCGACGAGACAUGCUUUGUUGCGAACGACUUGACCAUCUUCGUCUUGCUUGUUGCGAAACACCCAUUUGGUGCCAAUGAUGUUGUGGUUGUUGUCGGGCUUCUCGACCAAUGUCCACACUUGAUUUCUCUCGAAGUUGUGUAGCUCUUCAUGCAUGGCAUUUAUCCAAUCCGUAUCUUCCAAUGCUUCUUCAACCUUCAUAGGUUCAAUGCUAGAGAUGAAUGAAUAAUGUUCACAAAAGUUAUCCAAAUGAGUUUUAGAGCGAGUGAUUCUCCCGGUUUGAAUAUCAUUGAAAAUUUGUUUGGCGGGAUGGUCUCUUGAGACUCUUGCUCGAACUCGUGAAAGCUUUUGCUUGGGUCAGGGUGGAACAUCUUCUUCAUCGUCUUGUCCUUCUUCUUAGCCUUCUUCAUUAUUGGCGUUGUUGUUCUCUUGUCUUGCUGGAGAAGAAGGUUGAUGAGGUUCAUCUUGGUGUACUUCCUCGUUUUCUUCAUUUUGGUGCGUCCCACUUGUGGAUGCUUCCAUGUCAACUCUUGGUUCACCUUGUCGUGAGGUAGAAGCUUCCACUUGGACGAAUGAGGUACUCUCCUUCACCUCCAUUGGACGAAUCUUGCCAAUAGACAAGUCUUGGAUUGCUUCUGAAGGAUCCUUAUCUCCUACAUCAAUUGGCAAUUGCUCUACUUGCGAGCCGUUAGAUUCAUCAAACUUCACAUCUACCGUCUCUUCAACCUUUCGGGUGAAAUUUUUGUAGACACGGUAAGUGUGAGAGUUUGACCCAUAACCAAGUAGGAAACCUUCAUGAUAUUUAGGAGCAAAUUUAAAACGACGAUGCUUAUUAAGAAUGUAGCACUUUGAGCCAAAUACUCGAAAGUAUCCAACUUGGGGUUUGUUACCAGUGAGAAGCUCGUAUGCCAUCUUGCCGAGCAGCUUGUGAAGAUACAAGCGAUUUUUUGCAUGACAGGCUGUCUCAACCGCUUCCGCCCAAAAGUGUUUUGGUGUCUUGUACUCAUCAAGCAUCGUUCUCGCCAUCUCAAUAAGGGUUUGGUUCUUCCUCUCAACAACUCCAUUUUGUUGAGGCGUGUACAUAGCCGAGAACUCAUGUGAAAUCCCUUCUUCAUCAAGAAAGGUAUCCACAUUUGUGUUCUUGAACUCCGUUCCGUUGUCGCUGUUAACCUUCUUGAUCUUCACAUCAAAUUGAUUUUGGGCCUUCCUAGCGAAGUUCUUGAAGAUCUUUUGGACCUGGGAUUUAUCAUCAAGAAAGAACAGCCACGUAAAUCUUGAAAAAUCAUCAACUAUAACUAGACCAAAUGAGUUACCACCGAGACUCUUGUAGGCAUUGGGACCAAAGAGAUCCAUAUGAUGUAGCUCGAGCGGUCUUCUCGUGGUCAUAAUGUUCUUCACGGGGUGACUUCCUCCAACUUGUUUUCCUACUUGACAAGCACUACAAAGUCUAUCCUUGUCAAAUAUAACAUCUUUUACUCCAAGGAUAUGAUCACCUUUAAUGAGCUUAUCAAGAUUUCGCAUGCCCACAUGGCCUAACCUUCUAUGCCACAACCAACCUUUCGAGGAUUUAGCAAUUAGGAAAGUUCUAGGUUGAGCCUUUCUAGUGAAAUCAACAAUACAUAGAUCACCUCUACGUGUAUUGGUAAAGACCAUUUUAUGAUUAUCUCUACGAAACACUUGGCAAUCUACUUUAGUAAAUAGGACACUGAAACCAAAGUCAGUAAGUCUAGAUACGGAAAGCAAAUUGUAACCAAGAGAUUCAACGAGCAUAACAUUUUGUAUAGAGCUAUCGUGUGAGAUGGCCACCUUACCAAGGCCAACCACCUUACCCUUUGAGUUAUCACCAAAGGUGACAUACUUUCGAGGGUCGUUGUUUUCAGCAAGCUCAUGAAACAUAUCUUUGUCUCCGGUCAUAUGAUCGGUACACCCACUAUUAAGAACCCAUUCCUUUCCUCCAGCCAUGUAGCCGCAAAGAUUAGCCAUAAUACCAAAGUGUCUCAUUGCAUCAUCAAGAUCAUGGUCACUAUCAUCAUCCUCAUCAUAGUAUCCAUUGUCAUGUGGUGGAUCAAUUCCUAGAGAGAGUUAUUCAUUAGAACUAUGACCGUAACAAUGUUCAUCUCUACGAAUUCUAAUGACUUCGGAAAUGAUAUUGCUAAUGAUUCCAACAUCUCCUUUGGCACUCGUAAGAUUAGUAAGCUCAAAUAAACAAUCGCCAAAUUUGGGAUCAUUGGAACUCAUCUUACUCAAGGCAAUAGACUUAUCAAGAAUCUCAUCUAAGUUUUUCAAGGAAUAGUUUGGAAAUCGUUCCUCAAGAAAUCUCCAUAUGGUGUAGGCACAAUCAAGAGCAGGCAAGCUAGCAAGCAAGUUUCUAGGCAAACCUCUAGUGAUUAAAUUUAUUGUUCUAAGAUUACGGAUCAUGUCACUAGACUCAUCAAGGGUAGAAUGCAAAGGAUGAACAUGAGGUGCACAAGGGCUAGUAAUGUACUUGUUCAAAUGAUAUUCAUUGAAAAUCUCAAGCAUCUCAAUUUUCCACUCGUGAAAGUACUCUCCAUCAAGAAUAGGCACUCUAUGUCUAAGACUCCCGAACAUAGACUCAUCCAUCUUCCUCCAAUGGUAAUUAAACCAAAGCAAUGGAGACCAAUGCUCUGAUGCCAAUUGAAAGGGAUCGAGAAGAGGUGUCUAGAGGGGGGUGAAUAGACACUUAGCAAAGAAAAGUGGCAGUUUUUAAUUUCUUCAAGUUGAGGUGGAGUAUUAGCACAUGUUUAAACAUUCACAAUACAUAUCAAGCAAGCAUGACAAGAGUAUAUGGGCAGCGGAAAGUAAAGCAUGCAACUUUGCAAGAAUGUAAAGGGAUGGGAUUGGAGUUUGCAAAUGCAAUUGGAGACACUGAGAUUUUUGGCGUGGUUCCGAUAGGUGGUGCUAUCGUACAUCCAUGUUGAUGGAGACUUCAACCCACGAAGGGUAACUGUUGCGCGAGUCCAUGGAGGGCACCACCCAUGAAGGGUCCACGAAGAAGCAACCUUAUAUAUCCCACCAUGGCCAUCGCCCACGAAGGACUUGCCUCACUAGGGUAGAUCUUCACGAAGUAGGUGAUCUCCUUGCCCGUACAAACUCCUUGGUUCAACUCCACAAUCUUGACGGAGUCUCCCAAGUGACACCUAACCAAUCUAGCCCUAGAGGCAAUAAUAAAGUUGUUGUUUAUAUUUCCUUAUAUCAUGGUAAAUCUUUAUUAUUCAUGCUAGAAUUGUAUUAACUGAAAACUUAGUGCAUGUGUGAAUACAUAAACAAACAUAGUGUCACUAGUUUGCCUCUACUUGACUAGCUCGUUGAAUCAAUGAUGGUUAUGUUUCCUAACCAUAGACAUGAGUUGUCAUUUGAUUAACGGGAUCACAUCAUUAGAGAAUGAUGUGAUUGACUUGACCCAUCUGUUAGCUUAGCACGAUGAUCGUUUAGUUUGUUGCUAUUGCUUUCUUCAUGACUUAUACACGUUCCUAUGACUAUGAUAUUAUGCAACUCCCGAGUACCGGAGGAACACUUUGUGUGCUACCAAAUGUAACAACGUAAUUGGGUGAUUAUAAAGGUGCUCUACAGGUGUCUCCGAUGGUACUUGUUUCUACGAUCUGAUCGCAGAGGCGAAUAUUUGAGUUGUGAGUUUGGUCUUCAUUUGAAACAAUGUGUAAUAGUUUCGCAACUCACGCCACCCGGAACACCACAGCGUAAUGGUGUGUCCGAACGUCGUAAUCAUACUGUACUAGAUAUGGUGUGAUCUAUGAUGUCUCUUACUGAUUUACCGCUAUCUUUUGCGGUUAUGCUUUAGAUACGGCUGCAUUCACGUUAAAUAGGGCAUCAUCUAAAUCCGUUGAGACAACGCCUUAUGAACUGUGGUUUGGCAAGAAACCAAAGUUGUCGUUUCUUAAAUUUUGGGGCUGCGAUGCUUAUGUGAAAAAGCUUCAACCUGAUAAGCUCGAACACAAAUCGGAGAAAUGUGUCUUCAUAGGAUACCCAAAGGAGACUAUUGGGUACACCUUCUAUCACAGAUCCGAAGGCAAGACAUUCGUUGCUAAGAAUGGAUCCUUUCUAGAGAAGGAGUUUCUCUCGAAAGAAGUGAGUGGGAGGAAAGUAGAACUUGAUGAGGUAACUGUACCUAAUCCCCUAUUGGAAAGUAGUUCAUCACAGAAAUCUGUUCCUGUGACUCCUACACCAAUUAGUGAGGAAGCUAAUGAUGAAGAUCAUGUAACUUCAGAUCAAGUUACUACCAAACCUUGUAGGUCAACCAGAGUAAGACCCGCACUAGAGUGGCAUGGUAAUCCUGUUCUGGAAGUCAUGUUACUUGACCAUGACGAACCUACGAACUAUGAGGAAGCGAUGAUGAGCCCAGAUUCAGCAAAAUGGCUUGAGGCCAUGAAAUCUGAGAUGGGAUCCAUGUAUGAGAACAAAGUGUGGACUUUGGUUGACUUGCCCGAUGAUCGGCAAGCCAUCGAGAAUAAAUGGAUCUUCAAGAAGAAGACCGACGCUGGCGGUAAUGUUACUGUCUACAAAGCUCGACUUGUUGCGAAAGGUUUCCGACAAGUUCAAGGAGUUGACUACAAUGAGACCUUCUCACCCAUAGCGAUGCUUAAGUCCGUCUGAAUCAUGUUAGCAAUUGCCACAUUUUAUGAUUAUGAAAUUUGGCAAAUGGAUUUAAAGACUGCAUUCCUGAAUGGAUUUCUGGAAGAAGAGUUGUAUAUGAUGCAACCUGAAGGUUUUAUCGAUCCAAAGGGUGCUAACAAAGUGUGCAAACUCCAGCGAUCCAUCUAUGGACUGGUGCAAACAUCUCGGAGUUGGAUAAACGUUUUGAUAGUGUGAUCAAAGCAUAUGGUUUUAUACAGACUUUUGGAGAAGCCUGUAUUUACAAGAAAGUGAGUGGGAGCUCUGUAGCAUUUCUAAUAUUAUAUGUGGAUGACAUAUUGUUGAUUGGAAAUGACAUGGAAUUUCUGGAUAGCAUAAAAGGAUACUUGAAUAAGAGUUUUUCAAUGAAAGACCUCGGUGAAGCUGCUUAUAUAUUGGGCAUCAAGAUCUAUAGAGAUAGAUCAAGACGCCUAAUUGGACUUUCACAAAGCACAUACCUUGAUAAAGUUUUGAAGAAGUUCAAAAUGGAUCAAGCAAAGAAGGGGUUCUUGCCUAUGUUACAAGGUGUGAAAUUGAGUCAGACUCAAUGCCCGACCACUCUAGAAGAUAGAGAGAAAAUGAAAGGGUAGAUCUUCACGAAGUAGGCGAUCUCCUUCCCCGUACAAACUCCUUGGUUCAACUCCACAAUCUUGAUGGAGGCUCCCAAGUGACACCUAACCAAUCUAGGUGAAGGAAAUAUGCCCUAGAGGCAAUAAUAAAUUUGUUAUUUAUAUUUCCUUAUAUCAUGAUAAAUGUUUAUUAUUCAUGCUAGAAUUGUAUUAAUCGGAAACUUAGUGCAUGUGUGAAUACAUAAACAAACAGAGUGUCACUAGUUUGCCUCUACUUGACUAGCUCGUUGAAUCAAUGAUGGUUAUGUUUCCUAACCAUAAACAUGAGUUGUCAUUUGAUUAACGGGAUCACAUCAUUAGAGAAUGAUGUGAUUGACUUGACCCAUCUGUUAGCUUAGCACGAUGAUCGUUUAGUUUGUUGCUAUUGCUUCCUUCAUGACUUAUACAUGUUCCUAUGCCUAUGAGAUUAUGCAACUCCCGAGUACCGGAGGAACACUUUGUGUGCUACCAAACAUCACAACGUAACUGGGUAUAAAGGUGCUUUACAAGUGUCUCCGAUGGUACUUGUUGAGUUGGCAUAGAUCGAUAUUAGGAUUUGUCACUCCGAUUGUCGAAGAGGUAUCUCUGGGACCUCUCGGUAAUGCACAUCAUAAUAAGCCUUGCAAGCAAUGUAGCUAAUGAGUUAGUUACGAGAUGUAGCAUUAUGGAACGAGUAAAGAGACUUGCCGGUAACGAGAUUGAACUAGGUAUUGAGAUACCGACGAUCGAAUCUCGGACAAGUAACAUACCGAUGACAAAGGGAACAACGUAUAUUGUUAUGCGAUUUGACCGAUAAAGAUCUUCAUAGAAUAUGUAGGAACCAAUAUGAGCAUCUAGGUUCCGCUAUUGGUUAUUGACCGGAAAUGAGUCUCAGUCAUGUCUACAUAGUUCUCGAACCCGUAGGGUCCGCACGCUUAAAGUUCGGUGACGAUUGGUAAUAUGAGUUUAUGUGUUUUGAUAUACCGAAGGUAGUUCGGAGUCCCGGAUAUGAUCACCAACAUGACGAGGAGUCUCGAAAUGGUCGAGACAUAAAGAUUGAUAUAUUGGAAGCCUACAUUUGGACAUCGGAAUAGUUCCGGGUGAAAUCGGGAUUUUACCGGAGUGCCGGGGGGUUACUGGACCCCCCGGGGGGUUAAUGGGCCUUGUUGGGCCCUAGUGUAGAGAGAGAGAGGGGCCGGCCAGGGUAGGCCACGCGCCCCCUCCCCUUGAGUCCAAAUAGGACAAGGAAUGGGGGCGGCGCCCCCCUUGCCUUUCCCCUCUCCCACUCCUUCCUUCCCCCUUCUAGUGGGACUAGGAAAGGGGAGUCCUACUCCCAUUAGGAGGAGGACUCCUCCUCUUGGCGCGCCCUGCUAGGGCCGGCCGGCCUCCCCCCUUGCUCCUUUAUAUACAAGGGCAGGGGGCACCCCAAGACACACAAGUUGAUCAGUUGAUCUUUUAGCCGUGUGCGGUGCCCCCCUCCACCAUAAUCCACCUCGGUCAUAUCGUAGUGGUGCUUAGGCGAAGCCCUGCGUCGGUAGCAUUAUCAUCACUGUCAUCACAUCGCCGUGCUGACGGAACUCUCCCUCGAAGCUCUGCUGGAUCGGAGUUCGUGGGACGUCACCGAGCUGAACGUGUGCUGAACUCGGAGGUGCCGUACGUUCGGUACUUGGAUCGGUCGAAUCGUGAAGAUGUAUGACUACAUCAACCGCGUUCUCAUAACGCUUCUGCUUACGGUCUACGAGGGUACGUGGACAACACUCUCCCCUCUCGUUGUUAUGCAUCACCAUGAUCUUGCGUGUGCGUAGGAUUUUUUUUAAAUUACUAUGUUCCCCAACACUAGGAGACACCACACUCCAAAAGGUAAUAGACGGUGUGUUGAUGAUGAACUCCUUGCUCUUGUGCUUCAAAUGAUAGUCUCCCCAACACUCAACUCUCUCUCAUAGGAUUGGAUUUGGUAGAAAGAUGAUUUCAGUGGAAAGCAACUUGGGAAGGGCUAGAGAUCAAGAUUUAUGUGUUUGGAAUGGAAUAUCUUGACCUCAACACAAGUUUAGGUGGUUCUCUCUCAGAAAAUGUAUGAUGGAAGUGUAGGCAUGUUCUGGUGGCUCUCUUUUUGAAUGAAGAGUGAGUGGAGGGGUAUAUAUAGCCUCCACACAAAAUAUAACCGUUACACACACAAUUUUCCAAACUCGGUCAAACCGAUUUAGUUCAUAAUGUGACCGUUAGGAGUUUCGGUGGGACCGAUAUGAUCAACUCGGUAGGACCGAUGUGCUAGGGUUAGUGUAAAGCCUCAUCUUGGUUUGACCGAUUACACAAACUCGGUGGGACUGAUUUGGGUAGUAAGUGAAAUAGAGAGUUGGCCAAGCAAACUCGGUGAGACUGAUUGCAUAUUUUGGUGGGACCGAAAUUAUUGUAAUAGGCAACAGAGAGUUUGUAAGCCCAUCUCAGUGAGACCGAGAUCCCAUCGGUGAAACCGAAUUAGUUAGGGUUUCUGGCGGUGGCUAUGUCAACAUAACUCGGUGGCGCCAGAUAGAAAGAUUCGGUAGGGCCGAGUUUGUCUUUUGGUUUGGGACAAAUGUGGAUGUGAGAAAGUGGUUGAGGGCUUUGGAGCAUAUCACUAAGCACUUUGAUCAAUCAAGCCAUUAAGCAACACCUCAUCCCCUUUUCAUAGUAUUGGCUUUCCUAUGGACUCAAUGUGAUCUUGGAUCACUAAAAUAGAAAAUGUAGAGUCUAGAGCUUUGAGCUUGAGCCAAUCCUUUGUCCUCAUCAUCUUGAAGGGGUUCCACAUCCUCUAGUCCAUGCCACUCCAUUAUUGAACUUAUCUGAAACAUACUAGAUGAAAACAUUAGUCCAACAAGAGAUAUGUUGUCAUUAAUUACCAACAUCACCCAGGGAGCACUUGUAAUUUCAAGGUAGCAAGAAGGAUUUCUGGCAUCGUUGCCGAGGAGAUCUACGCACAAGUCAAGACAUACCAACUACCCAUCACAAAAUCUUGUCCCUCGCAUUACAUUAUUUGCCAUUUGCCUCUCGUUUUCCUCUCCCCCACUUCUAAAUGAUUUUCGAAAACAUUUACCUUUUCUUUGCCUUCUUCCCGUAUGUAUCUUUGUUUUUGUUUCCAUGUGCCUUCCAUUUGCUUGCAUCUUUGCUUGCUAGAAAUCUAUUGAUAUGGAUCCACUUAAAGUGUUCUACUUUGAUCAUCUUCGAUCCCUAUGCGCUCGUGCUGAAACCCCAACUAGCUUGGUUGAUGGGAAAUCUUUAGAUGAGCAUGCUCAUUUUGUGCGUCACCGUUUGUCUGAAAAAGGUAGAUUCUUAUGGGAUCAGAUAAACAGAUUGCUGUGUUAUGCUUGGAAUCUUUGUGAAAUUUAUGAAUUUUCUUGUUGCUCUAAGAACCCUAAAAAACACCUCCCCUACCUAUGUGAGUUUAAUGACAAUGAAAUCUUAUCUUCUUAUGCAAAGGGUGUUUAUAGUUACUAAGAUAUCGAACAAAUUGAAGAAUUUGUUGCUCUUAAGGGUGCUUAUGAAGUUGCUUCUUUGAUUGGAAAGUAUGAUAUUACUCUCUACGAAUCCGAAAAUUUUGACAUACUUAAAUAUGGCUAUGAAAACUAUGCUCAUAAUGUCUAUGUCAAAGAGUUGAUUGAAAGAAUGACCGUUGCUUUGGAAGAAAAUAAUGAUAUGCAUGAAUCUAUAGAUAAUUAUGAUUCUGAUGAUUUGAUUGAAAUAUCCCUUGAUGAACAUGAUGCUUGCUAUUCUUGUGGCCAUGAUGCCAAUAUUUAUGAAGAUGAAUUUGCUGUAGUUCCAUAUGUUAAACACGAGAUCGUUGCUAUUGCACCCAUACUUGAUAGUUCCUUCGAUGAAAAGCAUGAUUGCAAUGAUGUUACUAUAAACUCUCUUAAUGUCAAUUGUGCUAAUAAUAUGCAAAACCCUAAGCUUGGGGAUGCUAGUUUUGCUAUGUCUGCUACUUGUUGCAAUGAUCAUGAUUGGGGUGAUUCUUCUUAUGAUCUUGAAAAUUUAUUUAAGCCCCAUGAUGAAUAUGAGAUUGAUAAUAGUGUUUGCAAUAAUAUUGAAAGUGGGUUUGGAAGAGUGUCAACUUUAGAUCCCACAUAUUUGGAGAAUGUUCAAUCUUAUGGUAUUUUUGAUAAAAGUGGGUUUGGAGAGGUCAUGACUUUAGUUAAUGUUAAUCCCACUAUUUUGGAAGAGUGUCAACUUUGCAUGCAUGUGGAUCGUGUUUAAAAUAUUUUAUGUGAUAGCUAUUUUGUUGAAUUUUCUUAUGAUCCCACAUAUAAUUAUUAUGAGAGAGAAAAAUAUGGUUGUAGAAAUUUUCAUGUUACUAAAUUACCUCUCAUUAUGUUGAGAUUGCUAUUGUUUCUUUCUGCUUCCUUGCAUAUGCUAGUUUUUGCUUGCUAUGAUAAUUUGUUUGCCUAUAAGAUGCCUAUGCAUAGGAAGUAUGUUAGACUUAGAUGUGCUUGUCACGUGUUUCAUGAUGCUCUCUUUGUCCUUCAAUUCUUGUCUUUCAUGUGAGCAUUAUUGAAAUUAUCAAUGCCUAGCUAGGGGCGUUAAACGAUAGCGCUUGUUGGGAGGCAACCCAAUUUUAUUUUUGUUUCUUGCUUUUUGGUUCUGUUAAGUAAUAAAUAAUUCAUCUAGCCUCUGUUUAGAUGUGGUUUUAUGCUUUUAAUUAGUGUUUGUGCCAAGUAGAACCUUUGGGAAGACUUGGGGAAAGUUUUGCGAUCUUGCUGUAAAAAGCAGAAACUUUAGCACUCACGAGAUUUGCUGCCACUUUUUACUGAAGAGUGCGAUUAGGUUGAUUCUUUUUGCAGAUGAUUAAUAGAAAAAUUCCUCACUUCCACAAAUUUAUUUCAGAAUUUUUGGGGUUACAUAAGUAUUAGAAACCUUCAGAUUACUACAGACUGUUCUGUUUUUGACAGAUUCUGUUUUUCGUGUGUUGUUUGCUUAUUUUGAUGAAUCUAUGGCUAGUAUCGGAGGGUAUGAACCAUAGAGAAGUUGGAAUACAGUAGGUUUAACACCAAUAUAAAUAAAGAAUGAGUUCAUUACAGUACCUUAAGCGGUGGUUUGUUUUCUUAUACUAAUGGAGCUCAUGAGAUUUUCUGUUGAGUUUUGUGUUGUGAAGUUUUCAAGUUUUGGGUAAAGAUUUGAUGGAUUACGGAAUAAGGAGUGGAAAGAGCCUAAGCUUGGGUAUUCCCAAGGCACCCCAAGUUAAAAUUCAAGGACAACCAAAAUCCUAAGCUUGGGGAUGCCCCGGAAGGCAUACCCUCUUUCGUCUUCGUCCAUCGGUAACUUUACUUGAGGCUAUAUUUUUAUUCACCACAUGAUAUGUGUUUUGCUUGGAGCGUCUUGUAUGAUUUGAGUAUUUGAUUUUUAGUUUACCACAAUCAUGCUUGAUGUACACACCUUUUGGGAGAGACACACAUGAAUCGGAAUUUAUUAGAAUACUCUAUGUGCUUCACUUAUAUCUUUUGAGCUAGAUAAUUUUGCUCUAGUGCUUCACUUAUAUCUUUUAGAGCACGGUGGUGGUUUUAUUUUAUAGAAAUUAUUGAUCUCUCAUGCUUCACUUAUAUUAUUUUGAGAGUCCUUUAGAACAUCAUGGUAAUUUGCUUUGGCUAUAAAAUUGGUCCUAAUAUGAUAGGCAUCCAAGAUUGGUAUAAUAAAAGUGUUCAUAAAAAGGUGCAUUGAAUACUAUGAGAAGUUUGAUACUUGAUAAUUGUUUUGAGAUAUAAAGAUGGUGAUAUUUGAGUUGUGCUAGUUGAGUAGUUGUGAAUUUGAGAAAUACUUGUGUUGAAGAUUGCAAGUCCCGUAGCAUGCACGUAUGGUAACCGUUGUGUAACAAAUUUGAAACAUGAGGUGUUCUUUGAUUGCCUUCCUUAUGAGUGGCGGUCGGGGACGAGCGAUGGUCUUUUCCUACCAAUCUAUCCCCCUAGGAGCAUGCGCGUAAUGCUUGGUUUUUGAGGACUUGUAGAUUUUUGCAAUAAGUAUGUGAGUUCUUUAUGACUAAUGUUGAGUCCAUGGAUUGUACGCACCCUCACCUUUCCAUCAUUGCUAGCCUCUUCGGUACCGUGCAUUGCCCUUUCUCACCUUGAGAGUUGGUGCAAACAUCGCCGGUGCAUCCAAACCCCAUGAUAUGAUACACUCUAUCACACAUAAACCUCCUUAUAUCUUCCUCAAAACAGCCACUAUACCUACCUUUUAUGGCAUUUCCAUAGCCAUUCCGAGAUAUAUUGCCAUGCAAAUUUCCACCAUUUCAUUUAUGACACGCUUCAUCAUUGUCAUAUUGCCUUGCAUGUUCAUGUAGUUGACAUCGUAUUUGUGGUAAAGCUACCAUGCAUAAUUUAUCAUACAUGUCACUCUUGAUUCAUUGCCCUUCCCGGUACACUGCCGAAGGCAUUCAUAUAGAGUCAUAUUUUGUUCUAGUAUCGAGUUGUAAUCAUUGAGUUGUAAAUAAAUAGAAGUGUGAUGAUCAUAAUUAGUCGAGCAUUGUCCCAAAUAAAGAAAGGUGAAGGCCAAAAAAGAAAGGCCCCAAAAAAAGAUAAAUAAAAAGGAACAAUGCUACUAUCCUUUUUUUCCACACUUGUGCUUCAAAGUAGCACCAUGAUCUUUAUGAUAGAGAGUCUCUUGUUUUGUCACUUUCAUAUACUAGUGGGAAUUUUUCAUUAUAGAACUUGACUUGUAUAUUCUAACAAUGGGCUUCCUCAAAUGCCCUAGGUCUUCGUGAGCAAGCAAGUUGGAUGCACACCCACUUAGUUUCUUUUGUUGAGCUUUCAUACAUUUAUAGCUCUAGUGCAUCCGUUGCAUGGGAAUCCUACUCCUUGCAUUGACAUCAAUUGAUAGGCAUCUCCCUAGCAUGUUUAUUAGCCACGUCGAUGUGAGACUUUCUCCUUUUUUGUAUUCUCCACAUAACCCCCAUCAUUAUAUUCUAUUCCACCCAUAGUGCUAUAUCCAUGGCUCACGCUCAUGUAUUGCGUGAAAAUUGAAAAAAGUUUGCGAUUACUAAAGUAUGAAACAAUUGCUUGGCUUGUCAUUGGGGUUGUGCAUGAUGAGAGCAUUCUUGUGUGAAGAAAAUGGAGCAUGACCAAACUAUAUGAUUUUGUAGGGAUGAACUUUCUUUGGCCAUGUUAUUUUGAGAAGACAUGGUUGCUUAGUUAGUAUGCUUGAAGUAUUAUUAUUUUUAUGUCAAUAUUAAACUUUUGUCUUGAAUCUCUCGGAUCUGAAUAUUCAUGCCGCAAUAAAGAAAAUUACAUUGAGAAUUAUGCUAGGUAGCAUUCCACAUCAAAAAUUCUGUUUUUAUCAUUUACCUACUUGAGGAUGAGCAGGAAUUAAGCUUGGGGAUGCUUGAUACGUCCCCAACGUAUCUAUAAUUUUUGAUUGUUACAUGCUAUUAUAUUAUCUCUUUUGGAUGUUUAAUGGGCUUUAUGAUACACUUUUAUAUUAUUUUGGGGACUAACCUACUAACCCAAGGCCCAAUGCAAAUUGAUGUUUUUUUGCCUAUUUCAGUGUUCCGCAGAAAAGGAAUAUCAAACGGAAUCCAAACGGAAUGAAACCUUCAGGAGAGUUAUUUUUGGAACAGGCAUGAUCCAGGAGACUUGGAGUAGACGUCAAGAAAGGAGCGAGGAGGCCACAAGGCAGGGAGGCGCGCCUGCCCCUUGGGCGCGCCCCCACCCUCAUGGGCCCCUCGCAGCUCCACCGACCUACUUCUUCCUCCUAUAUAUAUAUAUAUAUAUAUAUACCCCAAAAAAAUCCAGGAGCACCACGAACCCCUAUUUCCACCGCCGCAACCUUUUGUACCCGUGAGAUCCCAUCUUGGGGCCCUUUCUUGGAGAUCUAUUCGAUGUAAUUCUUUUUGCGGUGUGUUUGUCAAGAUCUGAUGAAUUGUGGGUUUAUGAUCAAGAUUAUCUAAGAACAAUAUUUGAUUCUUCUCUAAAAUCUUUUAUGUAUGAUUUGUUAUCUUUGCAAGUCUCUUUGAAUUAUCAGUUUGGUUUGUCCUACUAGAUUGAUCUUUCUUGCAAUGGGAGAAGUGCUUAGCUUUGGGUUCAAUCUUGCGGUGUCCUUUCCCAGUGACAGCAGGGGCGGCAAGGCACGUAUUGUAUUGUUGCCAUCGAGGAUAAAAAGAUGGGGUUUAUAUCAUAUUGCUUGAGUUUAUCCCUCUACAUCAUGUCAUCUUGCCUAAUGCGUUACUUUGUUCUUAUGAACUUAAUACUCUAGAUGCAUGCUGGAUAGCGGUCGAUGUGUGGAGUAAUAGUAGUAGAUGCAGAAUCGUUUCGGUCUACUUGUCGCGGACGUGAGGCCUAUAUACAUGAUCAUGCCUAGAUAUUCUCAUAAUUAUGCACUUUUCUAUCAAUUGCUCGACAGUAAUUUGUUUAUCCACCAUAAUACUUAUGAUAUCUUGAGAGAAGCCACUAGUGAAACCUAUGGCCCCCGAGUCUAUCUUCCAUCAUAUAAGUUUCCAAUCUAUUUUAUUUUGCAAUCUUUAUUUUCCUAUCUAUAUAAUAAAAAUACGAAAAAUAUUUAUCUUAUUAUCUCUAUCAGAUCUCACUCUCGUAAGUGACCGUGAAGGGAUUGACAACCCCUUUAUCGCGUUGGUUGCGAGGUUCUUAUUUGUUUGUGUAGGUGCGAGGUGACUUGCGUGUAGUCUCCUACUGGAUUGAUACCUUGGUUCUCAAAAACUGAGGGAAAUACUUAUGCUACUUUGUUGCAUCACCCUUUCCUCUUCAAGGGAAAACCAACGCAGUGCUGAAGAGGUAGCAGGAUGUCUAUAUAAGUGGGAGUUCUUAAGUAAUAUGAUUAAUUGAACUUCAAUUUAUCAUGAACUUAGUCCUGAUAGUUUUUGCAUAUCUAUGUUGUUGUAGAUUAAUGGCCCGUGCUACCGUUCCCUUGAAUUUUAAUGCGUUCCUAGAGAAAGCUAAGUUGAAAGAUGAUGGUAGCAACUGCACAGUCUGGGUCCGUAACUUGAGGAUUAUACUCAUUGUUGCACAGAAGAAUUACGUCCUGGAAGCACCGCUAGGUGCAAGACCCGCUAUAGGAGCAACUCCGAAUGUUAUGAACAUCUGGCAGAGCAAAGCUGAUGACUACUCGAUAGUUCAGUGUGCCAUGCUUUACGACUUAGAAUUGGGACUUCAAAGACGUUUUGAAUGUCAUGGAGCAUAUGGGAUGUUCUAGGAGUUGAAGUUAAUAUUUCAAGCAAAUGCCCGAGUUGAGAGAUAUGAAGUCUGCAACAAGUUCUAUUGCUUCAAGAUGGAGGAGAAUAGUUCUGUCAGUGAACACAUACUCAGAAUGUCUGGGUACCAUAACCACUUGACUCAGCUGGGAGUUAAUCUUCCUGUUGAUAGUGUCAUUGAUAGAGUUCUUCAAUCCCUGCCACUAAGCUAUAAAGGCUUCAUGAUGAACUAUAAUAUGCAAGGGAUGGAAAAGACAAUUCCCGAGCUCUUCACGAUGCUAAAGGCUGCGGAGGUAGAAAUCAAGAAGGAGCAUCAAGUGUUGAUGGUUAACAAGACCACUAGUUUCAAGAAAAAGGGCAAAGGGGAGAAGGGGAACGUCAAUAAGAACAGCAAGCAAGUUGCUGCUCAAGGGAAGAAGCCCAAGACUGGACCUAAGCCUGACACCGAGUGCUUUACUGCAAAGGGACUGGUCACUGGAAGCGGAACUGCCCCAAGUAUUUGGCGGAUAAGAAGGAUGGCAAAGUGAAAGGUAUAUUUGAUAUACAUGUUAUUGAUGUGUACCUUACUAAUGCUCGUAGUAGCGCCUGGGUAUUUGAUACUGAUUUUGUUGCUCAUAUUUGCAACUCGAAAUAGGGGCUACAGAUUAAAUGAAGAUUGGCUAAGGACGAGGUGACGAUGCGCGUCGGAAAUGGUUCCAAGGUCGAUGUGAUCGUCGGCGGCACGCUACCUCUACAUCUACCUUCAGGAUUAGUUUUAGACCUAAAUAAUUGUUAUUUCGUGCCAGCGUUGAGCAUGAACAUUAUAUCUGGAUCUUGUUUGAUGCGAGACAGGUAUUCACUUAAAUCAGAGAAUAAUGGUUGUUCUAUUUAUAUGAGUAAUAUCUUUUAUGGUCAUGCACCCUUGAUGAGUGGUCUAUUUUUGUUGAAUCUCGAUCGUAGUGAUACACAUAUUCAUAAUAUUGAAGCCAAAAGAUGCAAAGUUAAUAAUGAUAGUGCAACUUAUUUGUGGCACUGCCAUUUAGGUCAUAUAGGUGUAAAGCGCAUGAAGAAACUCCAUGAUGAUGGGCUUUUGGAAUUACUUGAUUCUUGCAUGGGCAAGAUGACUAAGACUCCGUUCUCCGGAACAAUGGAGAGAGCCACAGACUUAUUGGAAAUAAUACAUUCUGAUGUAUGCGGUCCGAUGAGUGUUGAGGCUCGCGGCGAGUAUCAUUAUUUUCUGACCUUCACGGAUGAUUUGAGCAUAUAUGGGUAUAUCUACUUGAUGAAACAUAAGUCUGAAACAUUUGAAAAGUUCAAAGAAUUUUAGAGUGAAGUGGAAAAUCAUCGUAACAAGAAAAUAAAGUUUCUACGAUCUGAUCGCGGAGGCGAAUAUUUGAGUUACGAGUUUGGUCUUCAUUUGGAACAAUGUGGAAUAGUUUCGCAACUCACGCCACCUGGAACACCACAACGUAAUGGUGUUUCUGAACAUCAUAACCGUACUUUAUUAGAUAUGGUGUGAUCUAUGAUGUCUCUUACUAAUUUACCGCUAUUGUUUUGGGGUUAUGCUUUAGAGACGGCUGCAUUCAUGUUAUAUAAGGCACCAUCUAAAUCCGUUGAGACGACACUAUAUGAAUUAUGGUUUAGCAAGAAACCUAAGCUAUCGUUUCUUAAAGUUUGGGGCUGCGAUGCUUAUGUGAAAAAGCUUCAACCUGAUAAGCUCCAACCCAAAUCGGAGAAAUGUGUCUUCAUAGGAUACCCAAAGGAAACUGUUGGGUACACCUUCUAUCACAGAUCCGAAGGCAAGAUAUUCGUUGCUAAGAAGGGAUCCUUUCUAGAGAAGGAGUUUCUCUCGAAAGAAGUGAGUGGGAGGAAAGUAGAACUUAAUGAGGUAACUGUACCUUCUCCCGAAUUGGAAAGUAGCUCAUCACAGAAAUUAGUUCUAGUGAUUCCUACACCAAUUAGUGAGGAAGUUAAUGAUGAUGAUCAUGAAACUUCAGAUCAAGUUACUACCGAACCUCGUAGGUCAACCAGAGUAAGGUCCGCACCAGAGUGGUACGGUAAUCCUGUUCUGGAAGUCAUGUUACUAGACCAUGACGAACCUACGAACUAUGAGGAAGCGAUGAUGAGCCCAGAUUCCGUGAAAUGGCUUGAGGCCAUGAAAUCUGAGAUGGGAUCCAUGUAUGAGAACAAAGUAUGGACUUUGGUUGACCUGCCCGAUGAUUAGCAAGCCAUAGAGAAUAAAUGGAUCUUCAAGAAGAAGACUGACGCUGACGGUAAUGUUACUGUCUACAAAGCUCGACUUGUUGCGAAAGGUUUUCGACAAGUUCAAGGAGUUGACUACGAUGAGACCUUCUCACCCGUAGCGAUGCUUAAGUCUGUCCGAAUCAUGUUAGCAAUUGCCGCAUUUUAUGAUUAUGAAAUUUGGCAAAUGUAUGUCAAAACUACAUUCCUUAAUGGAUUUCUUAAAGAAGAGUUGUAUAUGAUGCAACCAGAAGGUUUUGUCGAUCCUAAAGGUGUUAUAAAAGUGUGCAAGCUCCAACGAUCCAUUUAUGGACUGGUGAAAGCCUCUCGGAGUUGGAAUAUAUGCUUUGAUAGUGUGAUCAAAGCAUAUGGUUUUAUACAGACUUUUGGAGAAGCAUGUAUUUACAAGAAAGUGAGUGGGAGCUCUGUAGAAUUUCUAAUAUUAUAUGUGGAUGCCAUAUUGUUGAUUGGAAAUAAUACAGAAUUUCUGGAUAGCAUAAAAGGAUACUUGAAUAAGAAUUUUUCAAUGAAAGACCUCGGCGAAGCUGCUUAUAUAUUGGGCAUCAAGAUCUAUAGAUAUAGAUCAAGACGCUUAAUUGGACAAAGCACAUACCUUGAUAAAGUUUUGAAGAAGUUCAAAAUGGACCAGUCAAAGAAAGGGUUCUUGCCCGUGUUACAAGGUGUGAAGUUGAGCCACACUCAAUGCCCGACCACUACAGAAGAUAGAGAGAAAAUGAAAGUCAUUACCUAUGCCUCAGCCAUAGGUUCUAUCAUGUAUGCAAUGAUGUGUACCAGACCUGAUGUGUGCCUUGCUAUAAGUUUAGCAGGGAGGUACCAAAGUACUCCAGGAGUGGAUCACUGGACAACGGUCAAGAACAUCCUGAAAUACCUGAAAAGGACUAAGGAUAUGUUUCUCGAUUAUGGAGGUGACAAAGAGCUUGUCGUAAAUGGUUACGUCGAUGCAAGCUUUGACACUGAUCCGGAUGACUCAAAGUCACAAACCGGAUACAUAUUUAUAUUGAAUGGUGGAGCUGUAAGCUGGUGCAGUUCCAAGAAGAGCGUCAUGGCGGGAUCUACGUGUGAAGUGGGGUACAUAGCUGAUUCAGAAGCAACAAAUGAAGGAGUCAGGAUGAAGGAGUUCAUAUCCGAUCUAGGUGUAAUACCUAGUGCAUCGGUCUAAUGAAAAUCUUUUGUGACAAUACUGGAGCAAUUGCCUUGGUGAAGGAAUCCAAAUUUCACAAGAGAACCAAACACAUCAAGAGACGCUUCAACUCCAUCCGCGAUCAAGUCAAGGAGGGAGACAUAGAGAUUUGCAAGAUACAUACGGAUCUGAAUGUUGCAGACCCGUUGACUAAGCCUCUUCCACGAGCUAAACAUGAUCAGCACCAAGACUCCAUGGUGUUAGAAUCAUUACUAUGUAAUCUAGAUUAUUGACUCUAGUGCAAGUGGGAGACUGAAGGAAAAAUGCCCUAGAGGCAAUAAUAAGGUUGUUAUUUAUAUUUCCUUAUAUCAUGAUACAUGUUUAUUAUUCAUGCUAGAAUUGUAUUAACCAGAAACUUAGUACAUGUGUGAAUACAUAGACAAAAACAGAGUGUCCUUAGUAUGCCUCUACUUGACUAGCUCGUUAAUCAAAUAUGGUUGUGUUUCCUGACCAUAGACAUGUGUUGUCAUUUGACGAACGGGAUCACAUCAUUAGAUAAUGAUGUGAUGGACAAGACCCAUCUGUUAGCUUAGCAUUAUGAUCGUUUAGUUUUAUUGCUAUUGCUUUCUUCAUAACUUAUACAUAUUCCGCUGACUAUGAUAUUAUGAAACUCCUGAAUACCGGAGGAUCACCUUGUGUGCUAUCAAACGUCACAACGUAACUGGGUGAUUAUAAAGAUGCUCUACAAGUGUCUCCGAAGGUGUUUAUUGGGUUGGCAUAGAUCAAGAUUAGGAUUUGUCACUCCGAGUAUCGAAGAGGUAUCUCUGGGCCCUCUCGGUAAUGCACAUCACUAUAAGCCUUGCAAGCAAUGUGACUAAUGAGUUAGUUAUGGUAUGAUGCACUACGAAACGAGUAAAGAGACUUGCCGGUAACGAGAUUGAACUAGGUAUGAUGAUACCGAUGAUCGAAUCUCGGGCAAGUAACAUACCGAUGACAAAGGGAAUAACAUAUGUUGUUAUGCGGUUUGACCGAUAAAGAUCUUCAUAGAAUAUGUAGGAACCAAUAUGACCAUCCAGGUUCCGCUAUUGGUUAUUGACCAGAGAUGUGUCUCGGCCAUGUCUGCAUAGUUCUCGGACCCGUAGGGUCCGCACGCUUAACAUUCGAUGACGAUUUGUAUUAUGAGUUAUGUGUUUUGGUGACCAAAGUUUGUUCCGAGUCCCGGAUGAGAUCACGGACAUGACGAGGAGUCUCGAAAUGGUCGAGAGGUAAAGAUUCAUAUAUUGUAAGGUUGUAUACGAACACCGAAAUGGUUCUGAAGAAGUUUGAGAAUUUAUCGAAGUAUCGGGAGGCUAUCGGAACCCCCCAGGAAAGUUAAUGGGCCUCAUGGGCCAUAGUGGAGAGGAGGAGGUGUUGGGGAACGUAGCAAUUUCAAAAAAAUUCCUAUGCACACGCAAGAUCAUGGUGAUGCAUAGCAACGAGAGGGGAGAGUGUGAUCUAUGUACCCUUGUAGACCGACAGCGGAAGCGUUAGCACAACGCGGUUGAUGUAGUCGUACGUCUUCAUGGCCCGACCAAUCAAGCACCGAAACUACGACACCUCUGAGUUUUAGCACACGUUCAGCUCGAUGACGAUCCCCGGACUCCGAUCCAGCAAAGUGUUGGGGAAGAGUUCCGUCAGCACGACGGCGUGGUGACGAUCUUGAUGUACUAUUGUCACAGGGCUUCGCCUAAGCACGGCUACAAUAUUACCGAGGACUAUGGUGGCAGGGGGCGCCGCACACGGCUAAGAAUAUGAUCACGUGGAUCAACUUGUGUGUCUCUGGGGUGCCCCUGCCUCUGUAUAUAAAGGUUCAAGAGGGGGAGGCCGGCAGGCCACCAUAGGGCGCGCCAGGAGGAGUCCUACUCCCUCCGGGAGUAGGACUUCUCCCCCAAUCCUAGUUGGAAUAGGAUUCAUGAGGUGGAAAAAGAGAGAGAGAGAAGCAGGGGGGCGCCGGCCCCCUCUCUCCUUGUCCUAUUCGGACUAGGGGUGAGGGGCAUGCGGCCCAGCCUUGGCCGCCUCUCCUCUUCUUCCACUAAGGCCCACUAAGACCCAUAUAGUUCCCGGGGGGUUCCGGUAACCUCCCGGUACUCCGGUAAAAUCCCGAUUUCACCCGGAACACUUCCGAUAUCCAAACAUAGGCUUCCAAUAUAUCAAUCUUUAUGUCUCGACCAUUUCGAGACUCCUCGUCAUGUCCGUGAUCACAUCCGGGACUCCGAACAACCUUCGGUACAUCAAAACGUAUAAACUCAUAAUAUAACUGUCAUCGAAACCUUAAGCGUGCGGACCCUACGGGUUCGAGAAUAAUGUAGACAUGACCGAGACAUGUCUCCGGUCAAUAACCAAUAGCGGGACCUGGAUGCCCAUAUUGGCUCCUACAUAUUCUACGAAGAUCUUUAUCGGUCAGAUCACAUAACAACAUACGUUGUUCCCUUUGUCAUCGGUAUGUUACUUGCCCGUGAUUCGAUCGUCGGUAUCUAAUACCUAGUUCAAUCUCGUUAUCGGCAAGUCUCUUUACUCGUUCCGUAAUACAUCAUCUCGCAACUAACUCAUUAGUUGCAUUGCUUGCAAGGCUUAAGUGAUGUGCAUUACCGAGAGGGCCCAGAGAUACCUCUCCGACGAUCGGAGCGACAAAUCCUAAUCUCGAAAUACGUCAACCCAACAUGUACCUUUGGAGACACCUAUAGAGCACCUUUAUAAUCACCCAAUUACGUUGUGACGUUUGGUAGCACACAAAGUUUUCCUCCGGCACACGGGAGUUACAUAAUCUCAUAGUCAUAGGAACAUGUAUAAGUCAUGAAGAAAGCAAUAGCAACAUACUAAACGAUGGGGUGCUAAGCUAAUGGAAUGGGUCAUGUCAAUCAGAUCAUUCAACCAAUGAUGUGAUCCCGUUUAAUCAAAUGACAACUCUUUGUCUAUGGUCAGGAAACAUAACCAUCUUUGAUUAACGAGCUAGUCAAGUAGAGGCAUACUAGUGACACUCUGUUUGUCUAUGUAUUCACACAUGUAUUAUGUUUCCGGUUAAUACAAUUCUAGCAUGAAUAAUAAACUUUUAUCAUGAUAUAAGGAAAUAAAUAAUAACUUUAUUAUUGCCUCUAGGGCAUAUUUACUUUAGUCUCCCACUUGCACUAGAGUCAAUAAUCUAGAUUUACACAGUAAUGAUUCUAACACCAAUGGAGCUUUGGUGCUGAUCAUGUUUUGCCCGUGGAAGAGGCUUAGUCAACGGGUCUGCUACAUUCAGCUUCGUAUGUAUCUUGCAAAUCUCUAUGUCUCCCACCUGGACCAGAUCCCGGAUGGAAUUGAAGCGUCUCUUGAUGUGCUUGGUUCUCUUGUGAAAUCUGGAUUCCUUUGCCAAGGCAAUUGCACCAGUAUUGUCACAAAAGAUUUUCAUUGGACCUGAUGCACUAGGUAUGACACCUAGAUCGGAUAUGAACUCCUUCGUCCAGACUCCUUCGUUUGCUGCUUCCGAAGCAGCUAUGUACUCCGCUUCACAUGUAGAUCCCGCCAUGAUGCUUUGUUUAGAACUGCACCAACUGACAGCUCCACUGUUUAAUGUAAACACGUAUCCGGUUUGCGAUUUAGAAUCGUCCGGAUCAGUGUCAAAGCUUGCAUCAACGUAAUCGUUUACAAUGAGCUCUUUGUCACCUCCAUAUACGAGAAACAUAUCCUUAGUCCUUUUCAGGUAUUUUAGGAUGUUCUUGACCGCUGUCCAGUGAUCCACUCCUGGAUUACUUUGGUACCUCCCUGCUAAACUUAUAGCAAGGCACACAUCAGGUCUGGUACACAGCAUUGCAUACAUGAUAGAGCCUAUGGCUGAAGCAUAGGGAACAUCUUUCAUUUUCUCUCUAUCUUCUGUAGUGGUCGGGCAUUGAGUCUGACUCAACUUCACACCUUGUAACACAGGCAAGAACCCUUUCUUUGCUUGAUCCAUUUUGAACUUCUUCAAAAUCUUGUCAAGGUAUGUGCUUUGUGAAAGUCCAAUUAAGCGUCUUGAUCUAUCUCUAUAGAUCUUUAUGCCUAAUAUGUAAGCAGCUUCAUCGAGGUCUUUCAUUGAAAAACUCUUAUUCAAGUAUCCUUUUAUGCUAUCCAGAAAUUCUAUAUCAUUUCCAAUCAGUAAUAUGUCAUCCACAUAUAAUAUCAGAAAUGCUACAGAGCUCCCACUCACUUACUUGUAAAUACAGGCUUCUCCGAAAGUCUGUAUAAAACCAAAUGCUUUGAUCACACUAUCAAAGCGUUUAUUCCAACUCCGAGAGGCUUGCACCAGUCCAUAAAUGGAUCGCUGGAGCUUGCACACUUUUUUAGCUCCCUUUGGAUCGACAAAACCUUCCGGUUGCAUCAUAUACAACUCUUCUUCCAGAAAUCCAUUCAGGAAUGCAGUUUUGACAUCCAUCUGCCAAAUUUCAUAUCAUAAAAUGCGGCAAUUGCUAACAUAAUUCGGACAGACUUAAGCAUCGCUACGGGUGAGAAGGUCUCAUCGUAGUCAACCCCUUGAACUUGUCAAAAACCUUUUGCGACAAGUCGAGCUUUGUAGACAGUAAUAUUACCGUUAGCGUCAGUCUUCUUCUUGAAGAUCCAUUUAUUCUCAAUUGCUUGCCGAUCAUCGAGCAAGUCAACCAAAGUCCAUACUUUGUUCUCAUACAUGGAUCCCAUCUCAGAUUUCAUGGCUUCAAGCCAUUUUGCGGAAUCUGGGCUCACCAUCGCUUCUUCAUAGUUCGUAGGUUCAUCAUGAUCUAGUAGCAUGAUUUCCAGAACAGGAUUACUGUACCACUCUGGCGCGGAUCUCACUCUGGUUGAUCUACGAAGUUCAGUAGUAUCUUGUCCUGAAGUUUCAUGAUCAUUAUCAUUAGCUUCCUCACUAAUUGGUGUAGGUGUCACAGAAACAGUUUUCUGUGAUGUACUACUUUCCAAUAAGGGAGCAGGUACAGUUACCUCAUCAAGUUCUACUUUCCUCCCACUCACAUCUUUCGAGAGAAACUCCUUCUCCAGAAAGUUUCCGAAUUUAGCAACAAAAGUCUUGCCUUCGGAUCUGUGAUAGAAGGUGUAUCCAAUAGUUUCCUUUGGAUAUCCUAUGAAGACACAUUUCUCUGAUUUGGGUUCGAGCUUAUCAGGUUGAAGCUUUUUCACAUAAGCAUCGCAGCCCCAAACUUUCAGAAACGACAACUUUGGUUUCUUGCCAAACCAUAGUUCAUAAGGCGUCGUCUCAACGGAUUUCGAUGGUGCCCUAUUUAACGUGAAUGCGGCUGUCUCUAAAGCAUAACCCCAAAAUGAUAGCGGUAAAUCAGUAAGAGACAUCAUAGAUCGCACCAUAUCUAGUAAAGUACGAUUACGACGUUCGGACACACCAUUACGCUGUGGUGUUCCGGGUGGCGUGAGUUGCGAAACUAUUCCGCAUUGUUUCAAAUGUACACCAAACUCAUAACUCAAAUAUUCUCCUCCACGAUCAGAUUGUAGAAACUUUAUUUUCUUGUUACGAUGAUUUUCAACUUCACUCUGAAAUUCUUUGAACUUUUCAAAUGUUUCAGACUUAUGUUUCAUUAAGUAGAUAUACCCAUAUCUGCUUAAGUCAUCUGUGAAGGUGAGAAAAUAACGAUAUCCGCCACGAGCCUCAAUAUUCAUCGGACCACAUACAUCUGUAUGUAUGAUUUCCAACAAAUCUGUUGCUCUCUCCAUAGUACCGGAGAACGGUGUUUUAGUCAUCUUGCCCAUGAGGCACGGUUCGCAAGUACCAAGUGAUUCAUAAUCAAGUGGUUCCAAAAGUCCAUCAGUAUGGAGUUUCUUCAUGCGCUUUACACCGAUAUGACCUAAACGGCAGUGCCAAAAAUAAGCUGCACCAUCAUUAUCAACUCUGCAUCUUUUGGCUUCAACAUUAUAAAUAUGUGUGUCACUACUAUCGAGAUUCAAUAAGAAUAGACCACUCUUCAAGGGUGCAUGACCAUAAAAGAUAUUACUCAUAUAAAUAGAACAACCAUUAUUCUCUGAUUUCAAUGAAUAACCGCCUCGCAUUAAACAAGAUCCAGAUAUAAUGUUCAUGCUCAACGCUGGCACCAAAUAACAAUUAUUUAGGUUUAAUACUAAUCCCGAAGGUAGAUGUAGAGGUAGCAUGCCGACCGCGAUCACAUCGACUUUGGAACCGUUUCCCACGCGCAUCGUCACCUCGUCCUUAGCCAAUCUUCGCUUAAUCCGUAGUCCCUGUUUCGAGUUGCAAAUAUUAGCAACAGAACCAGUAUCAAAUACCUAGGUGCUACUGCGAGCAUUAGUAAGGUACACAUCAAUAACAUGUAUAUCACAUAUACCUAUGUUCACCUUGCCAUCCUUCUUAUCCGCCAAAUACUUGGGGCAGUUCCACUUCCAGUGACCAGUCUGCUUGCAGUAGAAGCACUCAGUUUCAGGCUUAGGUCCAGACUUGGGUUUCUUCUCUUGAGCAGCAACUUGCUUGCUGUUCUUCUUGAAGUUCCCCUUCUUCUUCCCUUUGCCCUUUUUCUUGAAACUAGUGGUCUUGUUGACCAUCAACACUUGAUGCUCCUUUUUGAUUUCUACCUCCGCAGCUUUCAGCAUUGCGAAGAGCUCGGGAAUAGUCUUAUUCAUCCCUUGCAUAUUAUAGUUCAUCACGAAGCUCUUGUAGCUUGGUGGCAGUGAUUGGAGAAUUCUGUCAAUGACGCAAUCAUCUGGAAGAUUAACUCCCAUCUGAAUCAAGUGAUUAUUAUACCCAGACAUUUUGAGUAUAUGCUCACUGACAGAACUGUUCUCCUCCAUCUUGCAGCUAUAGAACUUAUUGGAGACUUCAUAUCUCUCAAUCCGGGCAUUUGCUUGAAAUAUUAACUUCAACUCCUGGAACAUCUCAUAUGCUCCAUGACGUUCGAAAUGUCGUUGAAGUCCCGAUUCUAAGCCGUAAAGCAUGGCACACUAAACUAUCGAGUAGUCAUCAGCUUUGCUCUGCCAGACGUUCAUAACAUCUGGUGUUGCUCCAGCAGCAGGCCUAGCACCCAACGGUGCUUCCAGGAUGUAAUUCUUCUGUGCAGCAAUGAGGAUAAUCCUCAAGUUACGGACCCAGUCCGUGUAAUUGCUACCAUCAUCUUUCAACUUUGCUUUCUCAAGGAACGCAUUAAAAAUCAACGGAACAACAGCACGGGCCAUCUAUCUACAAUCAAACAUACAUAAACAAGAUACUAUCAGGUACUAAGUUCAUGAUAAAUUUAAGUUCAAUUAAUCAAAUUACUUAAAGAACUCCCACUUAGAUAGACAUCCCUCUAAUCCUCUAAGUGAUCACGUGAUCCAAAUCAACUAAACCAUGUCCGAUCAUCACGUGAGAUGGAGUAGUUUCAUUGGUGAACAUCAUUAUGUUGAUCAUAUCUACUAUAUGAUUCACGCUCGACCUUUCGGUCUCCGUGUUCCGAGGCCAUAUCUGCAUAUGCUUGGCUCGUCAAGUAUAACCUGAGUAUUCUGCGUGUGCAACUGUUUUGCACCCGUUGUAUUUGAAUGUAGAGCCUAUCACACCCGAUCAUCACGUGGUGUCUCAGCACGAAGAACUUUUGCAAUGGUGCAUACUCAGGGAGAACACUUCUUGAUAAUUUAGUGAGAGAUCAUCUUAUAAUGCUACCGUCAAUCAAAGCAAGAUAAGAUGCAUAAAAGAUAAACAUCACAUGCAAUCAAUAUAAGUGAUAUGAUAUGGCCAUCAUCAUCUUGUGCCUGUGAUCUCCAUCUCCGAAGCACCGUCAUGAUCACCAUCAUCACCGGCGCGACACCUUGAUCUCCAUCGUAGCAUCGUUGUCGUCUCGCCAAUCUUAUGCUUCCACGACUAUCGCUACCGCUUAGUGAUAAAGUAAAGCAUUACAGCGCGAUUGCAUUGCAUACAAUAAAGCGACAACCAUAUGGCUCCUGCCAGUUGCCGAUAACUCGGUUACAAAACAUGAUCAUCUCAUACAAUAAAAUUCAGCAUCAUGUCUUGACCAUAUCACAUCACAACAUGCCCUGCAAAAACAAGUUAGACGUCCUCUACUUUGUUGUUGCAAGUUUUACGUGGCUGCUACGGGCUUAAGCAAGAACCAAUCUUACCUACGCAUCAAAACCACAACGAUAGUUUAUCAAGUUGGUGCUGUUUUAACCUUCACAAGGACCGGGCGUAGCCACACUCGGUUCAACUAAAGUUGGAGAAACUGUCACCCGCAAGCCACCUAUGUGCAAAGCACAUCGGGAGAACCGGUCUCGCGUAAGCGUACAUGUAAUGUCGGUCCGGGCCGCUUCAUCCAACAAUACCGCCGAACCAAAGUAUGACAUGCUGGUAAGCAGUAUGACUUAUAUCGCCCACAACUCACUUGUGUUCUACUCGUGCAUAUAACAUCAACACAUAAAACCUAGGCUCUGAUACCACUAUUGGGGAACGUAGUAAUUUCAAAAAAUUUCCUACGCACACGCAAGAUCAUGGUGAUGCAUAGCAACGAGAGGGGAGAGUGUGAUCUACGUACCCUUAUAGACCGACAGCGGAAGCGUUAGCACAACGCGGUUGAUGUAGUCGUACGUCUUCACGGCCCGACCGAUCAAGCACCGAAACUAUGGCACCUCCGAGUUUUAGCACACGUUCAGCUCGAUGACGAUCACCGGACUCCGAUCCAGCAAAGUGUUGGGGAAGAGUUCCGUCAGCACGACGGCGUGGUGACGAUCUUGAUGUACUACUGUCACAGGGCUUCGCCUAAGCACCGCUACAAUAUUAUCGAGGACUAUGGUGGCAGGGGGCGCCGCACACGGCUAAGAAUAUGAUCACGUGGAUCAACUUGUGUGUCUCUGGGGUGCCCCUGCCUCUGUAUAUAAAGGUUCAAGAGGGGGAGGCCGGCCGGCCACCAUAGGGCGCGCCAAGAGGAGUCCUACUCCCUCCGGGAGUAGGACUUCUCCCCCAAUCCUAGUUGGAAUAGGAUUCAUGAGGUGGAAAAGAGAGAGAGAGAGAGAGAGAGAGAGAGAGAGAGAGAGAGAGAGGGAGAGAGAGAGAGAGAGAGAAGGAGGGGGGCGUCGGCCCCCUCUCUCCUUGUCCUAUUCGGACUAGGGGUGAGGGGCGUGCGGCCCAUCCCUGGCCGCCUCUCCUCUUCUUCCACUAAGGCCCACUAAGGCCCAUAUAGUUCUCGGGGGGUUCCCGUAACCUCCCGGUACUCCGGUAAAAUCCCGAUUUCACCCAGAACACUUCUGAUAUCCAAACAUAGGCUUCCAAUAUAUCAAUCUUUAUGUCUCGACCAUUUCGAGACUCCUCGUCAUGUCUGUGAUCACAUCCGGGACUCCGAACAACCUUCGGUACAUCAAAACGUAUAAACUCAUAAUAUAACUGUCAUCGAAACCUUAAGCGUGCGGACCCUACGGGUUCGAGAAUAAUGUAGACAUGACCGAGACAUGUCUCCGGUCAAUAACCAAUAGCGGGACCUGGAUGCCCAUAUUGGCUCCUACAUAUUCUACGAAGAUCUUUAUCGGUCAGACCGCAUAACAACAUACGUUGUUCCCUUUGUCAUCAGUAUGUUACUUGCCCGUGAUUCGAUUGUCGGUAUCCAAUACCUAGUUCAAUCUCGUUAUCGGCAAGUCUCUUUACUCGUUCUGUAAUACAUCAUCCCGCAACUAACUCAUUAGUUGCAUUGCUUGCAAGGCUUAAGUGAUGUGCAUUACCGAGAGGGCCCAGAGAUACCUCUCCGACGAUCGGAGUGGCAAAUCCUAAUCUCGAAAUACGUCAACCCAACAUGUACCUUUGGAGACACCUGUAGAGCACCUUUAUAAUCACCCAGUUACGUUGUGACGUUUGGUAGCACACAAAGUGUUCCUCCGGCACACGGGAGUUACAUAAUAUCAUAGUCAUAGGAACAUGUAUAAGUCAUGAAGAAAGCAAUAGCAACAUACUAAACGAUCGGGUGCUAAGCUAAUGGAAUGGGUCAUGUCAAUCAGAUCAUUCAACCAAUGAUGUUAUCCCGUUUAAUCAAAUGACAACUCUUUGUCUAUGGUCAGGAAACAUAACCAUCUUUGAUUAACGAGCUAGUCAAGUAGAGGCAUACUAGUGACACUCUGUUUGUCUAUGUAUUCACACAUGUAUUAUGUUUCCGAUUAAUACAAUUCUAGCAUGAAUAAUAAACUUUUAUCAUGAUAUAAGGAAAUAAAUAAUAACUUUAUUAUUGCCUCUAGGCAUAUUUCCUUCAGGAGGUAGCCACGAGAGGUGGUGCCCCCCAAGCCCAAUCCAAAUUGGACAAGGGGUGGGGGCGCGGCCCCCCUUUUCCUUCUCCUUCUCCCCCUCUUUCCCCUUUCCCCUCUCUGUUGGAAGGAAGGGGAAGCCGACUAGGACUAGGAGUCCUAGUGGGACAACCCCCACUUGGCGCACCCCUAGGGGCCGACCGGCCUCCCAUCCCCUCCUUUAUAUACGUGGGCAGGGGGCACCCCAAAGACACAACAGUUAUUCUCUUAGCCGUGUGCGGUGCCCCCCUCCACGGUUUACUCCUCCGGUCAUAGCGUCGUAGUGCUUAGGCGAAGCCCUGCGAGGAUCACAUCACCAUCACUGUCGCCACGCCGUCGUGCUGACGGAACUCUCCCUCGACCCUCUAUUGGAUCAAGAGUUCGAGGGACGUCAUCGAGCUGAAUGUGUGCUAAACACGGAGGUGUCGUACGUUCGGUACUUGGAUCGGUUGGAUCGUGAAGAUGUUCGACUACAUCAACCGCGUUAACCUAACGCUUCCACUUUCGGUCUACGAGGGUACAUGGACACACUCUCCCCGUGUCGUUGCUAUGCAUCUCCUAGAUAGAUCUUGCGUGAUCAUAGGAAUUUUUUUAAAAUUGCAUGCUACGUUCCCCAACAAGCCUCUACUGGACUAGAUUGUUGAUCAAAGAUGGUUAAGGUUUCCUAACCAUAGAAAUGAGUUGUCAUUUGAUAACGGGGUCACAUCAUUAGGAGAAUGGUGUGAUGGACAGACCCAAUCGUAAGCUUAGCAUCAGAUAGUUUAGUUGUUUGCUACAGCUUUCUUCAUGUCAAGUAUCAGUUCCUUAUACCAUGAGAUCAUGCCACUCCCGGAUACCGGAGAAAUACUUUUUGUGCUAUCAAACGCUACUUCGUAACUGGGUGACCAUAAGGGUGCUCUACAGGUAUCUCCGAAGGUACUUGUUGGGUUGCAUGGAUCGAGACCGGGAUAUGUAACUCCAUGUGACGGAGAGAUAUCUUUGGGCCCUCUUGGUAAUACAACAUCAUAAGAAGCUUCAUGUGACUAAUGAGUUUAGUCACGAGAUCUUGUAUUAUGGAACGAGUAAAGUGACUUGCCGAUAACGAGAUUGCUAGGAAUGGAGAUAUCGACGAUCGAAUCUCGGGCAAGUAACAUAUCGCCAAACAAAGGGAAUUGAAUACGGGAUUAACCGAAUCCUCGACAUCGUGGUUCAACCAAUAUAGAUUUUCGUGAAUAUGUAGGAACCAAUAUGGGCAUCUAGGUCCCGCUAUUGGUUAUUGACGGGAGAGGUGUCUCGGUCAUGUCUACAUGAUUCUCAAACCCGUAGGGUCGCACGCUUAACGUUCGAUGAUGCUAGAGUAGUAUUGGGAUAUUUGCAUUGGUGACCAAAGGUUGUUUGGAGUCCCGGAUGAGAUCCCGGGCAUCACUAGGAGUUCCGGAAUGAUCUGGAGGUAAAGAUGUAUAUAUGGGAAAAUUUUGUUCAAGUUCCAGAAAAAGUUUGGGGGUCCACAGGGAGCAUACCGGGUGGCACCAAAGGGUUCCGGGGGUCCACCAGAGGGACCAACAGCCUUGAAGGGCCACAUGGGCAUCAAAGGAGGGCGCACCAGGCCCUGGUGGGCCGGGCACCACUUCCCCCUUGGCCCAUGCACCUAGGGUUGGGGGAACCCUCUAGAUGCCCCCUUCACUUGGGGGGCAAGCUAUACCCCCUAGGGCCACCGACCCCUCCCCCUUGCCCCUAUAUAUAGUGGGGGUGGGAGGGCAGUCGUACCCCUUCCCUAGCACAACCCCUUCCCUUCUCUCCCACCACCUCCUUCCAGUUUGGCUUGGCAAAGCCCUGCCGGUGCAUCACAACCACCACCACACCGUCGUGUCGGUUGUGAUCCCAUCAACUUCUCCCCCUUCGCUUGCUGGAUCAAGGAGGAAGAGACGUCAUCGAGCCACACGUUUACUAAACUCGGAGGCGCCGUCCGUUCGGCGCUAGAUCGGUUUGGAUGGUGAUUGGAUCGCGAAGGGUACGACUACAUCAACUGCGUUUUUACGCUUCCGCUUUCAGUCUACAAGGGUAUGUAGACACACUCCCCUCUUGUUGCUAUGCAUCUUCUAGAUUAGAUCUUGGGUGUUCGUAGGAUUUUUUUUUGAUUUUCAUGCUUCGUUCCACAUCAAGUUGAUCUACCAUGAGAUCAGAUGUGAAUGAAUCUUCCCUCUAUGCCUCCGGCACCUCAGUUUAUAUAGACACCGGGUACCUAGGGUUUACACAUGGUUGGUUGUAUCUAAGGGGCAAACAUGUCGAGUACUAUGUCUACGUCUUGGAGUACACGCCAAGUCUCUGCGUCAUUCCUUCUUAAUGCUUCUGGACCAGACGAACAAGGCCUGCCAGGAAUAGGCUUAGGGGGGGGGGGGUCCUCAUCCCAACCCAAAGGAUGGGCAACUCACAUGCCGAGACCCCCUAAUCCAGGACUCCGUCACUCCGUUGACCGGCUGCACCCCUUGCCGACUUAGCAUCCCACGAUUGUCGCCUGGAUAAACGACCGAAGGAGGAGGAUCCCGUGCCUCCUACCCCUCUAGGCAACAACAACAUGACCAGAUCCUCGCCAUUCCCAUCACCGGUGGUGCACGAGCUUACCCUACAUCCGCGAUUGGGGACGACGAGGGCGAUGAGGAGGGGGGCGGUGAUAGGGGGGCUAGCCCCCCUCCCCCCUCCCCCCCGCCCGCCCCCAAUCGCCCUGGAGGGGGCGCGGCUCAAGGGGUUACGGGGACUCGACUCAUGGGUAGUACUAGGUAAUAGGGUUUAAUUUCUAUAGUGCCCCUCAACACUAAUAUGGUCCAUCGUUAUGUACGGAGCUGGAUGCUUGAAAUGCUUCUACGCAUGAAAGAUUACCAAACGUGUGGGUCAUAUGGAUGUAUAUAGUUUUCUAUAAGUACUUCUACCGCUUUUAAUUUACAUCUAAUUGUGUAUUAUUAUUUUCCUACUUUUUCUUUCAUUGUGUAUUAGAAGCUAGAGGUGGAGGUGUAGUGAGGCAAUACAUGCACGAGAUUUAUGGCACUUAUGAGGUAGGGCAUCACCGUUACCUAGUCUAAACAACACUUCAUAGUUUUCCUUGAUAUAAAUAGAUUUUCUAAUAUGAAAAGUGAAAUGAAACAAAGAGAAUAUGUUUUUUUUUGCGAAUAACAGAGAGAAUAUAUUUUAGAACCAAGUCCAUGUUUUUAAUAUUAUCACACUGUAUGUGUUUAGAACGAUGCUGUACACACGACGUAGGCUGCAUGAUUUAUGGACGAUGUUGUUAAUCUAGCCAUCGGUGUAAGAAGGCACACGGUAGAACAUCGUCCGAUUAUGCAUCGUGCAUGAAUCGGCCAAGCAGUGUGGUUCCGAAAGUAGUUUCGUAGUGUGUUUUAAGGGCUUAUUUGAAUCAAGUGGAUUUUGUAUUGUUUUUGGUAUUAUUUCUAAUUUGGUAGGAUUUCAACCCUCAUGAAUUCUUUUUUUCCUGAAAUUUACAGGUGUGAACAGGUAAUAAAUGUCCACGACCUGCCCUUUCCUCCUUGAAAGUUACAGUACUACUCUGGUAAAGGGUGAAAAAAGCGACUUUUACACGACCUCUCUCUUCCCCCCUCUCUGGCCAGCCGAAACAUCACUCGAACCGCAAUGGCGCCUCCCCGCGGCGGAGCUGCUGCGGCCGCUACCGCCGCACUGGACCUGACCGGCGUGCACAUUCUCGAAGCUUCCAGUGUCCCCCCGCUUCCCGAACGGUAACCACCACCCAUCCUUGCUCUCGGUUCCUUGAUCAAAUCCUUCGUAUCGAGGCUUUACGGGAGGGGAUUUUUUUGGGGGUUUCUUGAUUGAUGCAGCGGCGGUAAUGCGGUCCAAAGGAAGGGGGCUGUUGACCCGGAUAAAGAUAGGAAGAAGGAGAAGGCUGCGGCACCGAGGAUCACCGGUUGGGGGCUCCGCGAGUACAGCAAAAUAGGUCAGAUUAUGCGCCAUGGUUAAAGCUCGAGUGUUUGCUAAUUAACUAGCGUGAUUCGUCGCGCAUAUAUUGCUGGGGUAUUUGUGGAACGUUUCUGGAAGGAACCAGUUUGGGCGAUUUGAUGCGGGGCUUGGUGUUCUUCAUAGACGAUGUGUGGGAUUCCAAUGCUUUCUUUGCUCUGGCUAUUGCUGUAGCAGAUUCCAAUCUUGGUGUAGGUUCCGUUUGUGGAGGGAUUUUGUCGGAGAAUAUUGCUUUGUUUACCCCAACUGAAUUGUAGAAUGGCCAAUCUAGGUUAGAAGGUGCAGGAGCUCUCUCAAUCAAUUGGUGUCUUCAAGUUGAGAUUCAGUCCACAAUUUGACUUGGUCAAUGUGCUGUGCUUUGUGGAGUGAUCUGCUGAUGGGUGGGCCUGUUGGCAAGUGGCUCCGUGGUGGAGCGAUAUGAGUCGAUUCAGGGCAACUCCAACGCGCGACCCUGAAUGGUCCGUCCGCGUCCGUUUGGGGGUAAAUGGACAAAACAGACGGCCCAACGCGCGGGAGCAAACGGACCAAUGUCCGUUUUCAGUCCGCUUUCGACCCAUUCACGGCCCAACUUCGGGACGCGUUUGCGGCCAAACGGACGGGCGCGGACGGGCGGGGCACGUGCCGCCCUCCCCUUGGCCCACCCAUCGGUGGCACAGCCGUCCCUUUUCUCUUCCCCUGCCCUCCCUCCGCCCUUCGCCCCCCGCCAUCGCCGCCACCACCCCCGUUCCUGGCCGCGUUGCCUUCCACCAAGGCCGUCCGAACCACGACCACGCCAUGCCAUAGCUGUCCCACACCUGCCUUCCGGAAAGCUUUUUGCCAGCGUUUGUGGUUCCUCGUUGCCGGUGUGAGAGAAGCUACGUCCAUCGGCGUCGCCCAUCGACCCCAACAACUUCCGUCAGGUCGUGCAUUGCGGCAGAGCGCCCACCACCACCAUCGACCCCAAACAUUGCUUUGCUGCCUGCGAGGGGAGCAUGACGUGCACUUUCCGACCACGUCUCCACCACGACCGCAAGGCGUUCGACGCUUUGCUCACAAGGUACAAUGGAUAGUGGGGUUUAUUAUUUCUUUCACAACUUCAUUUGCUCAUCGGAUGAUCCGUCCUCGGAUGAUGAAGAGCUUGUGGUGGCUACAUUGGCCGUCCAUGACCACAUUAGUAGGAAGCGGCCUCGGUUCAGGGGAUCAAUCCCUGGCCAUGCUCCGUCCUUGAACCGCAAUAGGGAGAAAGGCCACACCCUUCUCUAUGCCGAUUACUUUGAGAAUGCCGCACUCUUCAAACCACAUCAAUUUCAUCGCCGAUUCGAAUGAGGAGACAUGUGUUCAAUCGUAUUCGGGGGGGAGUGGUAGGAUAUGACCCAUACUUUGAGUGCAAAGAGGAUGUCCUUGGCUUCUCUUCUUACCAGAAAUGCACCGCGGCUAUCCGCAUGGUUGCAUAUGGAAUCACUGGUCAUCUCGUGGAUGAGUAUGUGCGUAUGAGUGAGUCCAUAUGUCUCCUCUCAAUGUAUAGUUUGUGCAAGGCCGUGGUGGCAGUGUUCGGCCCUGAGUACACGAGAGCCAACUACCGCUGAUACGGAGAGGUUGUUGGCGAUCAAUGCCGAUAGGGGCUUUCCGGGCACAUGCUUGGUAGUAUAGAUUGUAUGCACUGGAAGUGGAAGAACUGUCCAUUUGCUUGGCAGGGGCAUUACAAGGGGCAUGUGAAAGAUGCCACUGUCAUACUUGAAGCGGUGUCUUCACAAGAUCUGUGGAUAUGGCAUUCUUUCUUCGGCAUGGCUGGUUCUCACAAUGAUAUCAACGUGCUUCAGCGUUCUCCAGUGUUUGCAAGGCUUGCAGAAGGCCAUUCCCCAGAGUUCAACUUUGAGAUCAAUGGCCACCAUUACAACAAGGGAUAUUACCUAGUUGAUGGUAUCUAUCCUCAGUGGUCAACUCUUGUGAAGACCAUAUCCAAUCCGCAAGGAGAGAAGAGACAAAGAUUUUCCCAAAUGCAGGAGAGUGCUAGGAAGGAUGUGGAGUGUGCUUUUAUGCUUCAAUCUUGAUGGGGUAUCGUUCGAAACCCUGCAUUAACAUGGAGCACUCAGAAGCUUUGGGAGGUGAUGACUGCUUGUGUGAUCAUGCACAACAUGAUCGUGGAGGAUGAGCGUGGUGAUAGCAUCUACGACCAAGGGUUCGAUUUCGAGGGUGAAAAUGUUGAGCCUGAGCAGCUACCUCCUGCAACUUUUCAACAGUUUGUCCAAUUUCAUCGUGAAAUGCGUGAUUGGAAGACUCAUGUGCAGCUUGAGAUUGACUUUGUUGAGCACAUGUGGACUCAUAUUGGCAACCAGUAGAUCUAUUGGUUUAUUUUUUUUCAUGCAAACAAAUUUUGAUUGGGUUGUAAGACUAUUUGAUGUUGUUUUUAUUUCAAUUGGGUUGUAAAACUAUUUCGGAUGUGGAACUAUUUGCUUUGUUUGAUUUGAACUAUUUGCUAUGGUUGAUUUUAGUAUAAAUGGCCUCUGGCGGACGAGACGCGGCCGAAAUGCGGCCGCGCGUUGGGCGCACCGCCGGCGCAUCCACAAAUCCGGGCGGACGCCGCCCCAUUGCCACCCCAAAUGGACAAAAAGCGGACAAAACGGAUCCGUUUGGGGUCGUACAUUGGAGUUGCCCUCAGAGCAACAAUUUCGAGAGCCCACAACAAUCCAGAGUUUGUUUUGCUCCUUUCCCCAUUAGUCAGCCGGUGUUGACCAUGCCUUGCAUGCCUCGGCCCAGGUGAAGUCAAUCGUACCAUGUGUUCCCACCGCGUUGCGGCUCUAGGGGCACGAGAUUCUUUUACUGUUGCGCUGGCUGUAUGGACAAGGAAAAGACAGCGCGGAGGCGGAGAGGGGAAAGUCAAAGGCGGUUGUGUGCAGAGCUUGAGGAGAUCUCAGCCGCUGGAAGUAGGCGGCUUGAGGGGAGUACAACGUCUUUUCCGGUUGGGCGGUCGGCGGCUGCGAGCACGCGUCUAGGAGCGGCAGCUUUGCCUGCCGGUCAUUCAGCGGCUGCAAGCAGGCGGCUGGAUGUUUGGCUGUUGCAACCCUGCCAGCUAGGAGCGAUCUUUCCUGGCAGUUGACGAAAAAGGUCCCCUCUUUGUAUUAUAAAACAACCACCACAUCACAGGUUCAUACAAGUCAAAACAAAGAGCAAAAAAGAGAGAAAAGAGAAGAAACACAAACAACAAGGAUACAUGAUAGCAAAGGAGCCACUAACAAGCACCGAAUGCACCAAGCGCAAGCUUGAGCAUCGAGGCGCUUGGCGAACAAGAGCGAGCACACGAUGCGACUAAGACAAGGUAGUGAACCGCUGCAGGAGGAUUGCCAUGCUCCGUCAACUCCCUAGAGGCCAGCCAUUGUUGGUCCGCCAUCCUCCUCUACCUUCGAAGAAGGCCCCCUUUAGUCCUGGAUCGGAGGACACUGCGCCGUCGACAGGCAGAGUCGCUCACCCCUGAGCUCGCAUGACCAGGACCAUCUGGUUGCCGGGAAGAGGACAACAAGCACGGCCACCUCACCAUGCAGCGGCACACCCCAACAUCGCCACCGCCGUUCGCAGGCAUCAACUCGGCAUCAACUUCAACUGCAAGCAGCUGAGCGGGAACACCAAUGAAAAUAUCCGACAUACCACAUCCCGUGCUGAAGCCUCGACCACCACUCCGCUGUCCCAAGGUGGUGCCUUCAAGAAGAAAACGACGCCAGAGCGCCGUCACCACCCAAUCCGGAGAUUUUGGACUUCCACCUGGGACAGGAAGGAGAGGGUGAGGGUAGGAUCGCGAUGCCGCCCUCAAGAAGGAGAACGACGGCGGGGCGCCUCUUGCAUCGUGGCCGCAGCAACCAGCCAAGGGUUUCCCCCAAUCCAUCCCUACCAGAUCCUCAGCCCCACCAACCGCUAGAGGAGGCCGCCAGCGCCGGCCGGCGAGGCAAGAAGCUCAAGGGAGGGCCUCCGUCUUCAGAUCUGCUCCAAGGGAAAACGGGGAAGCCCCGGGAGCCAGCCCAUGCCCCCGCGCACGCCGAAGGGGGCCCCACGUGAUUCUCGACUGUGGUUGCCGCCACAACUCUGGGGCAGAACACGCCGGGGGCACCACAGAGCCCAUCCCGCCAGCACCAGCCGCCGCCGCACCCUUUGCUAGCGCCGCGCCGCCGCCCGACCACACCGACCCGCGUCAGCUAUCAUCGAGCGGGGGAAGAGAGGCCUCGCCGCCGCCGCUGCUGACCGGGCUUCGCCCGUCAACGCGACUGGCGCCGGCAAGGGGAGAGGUGGGGAGGAGGAGGGGCCCUAAGGCCGGCGGCUAGGGUUUCCCCUCGGCAUCGCUCGCGGGAGCAACCGGGAGGGGGAGGGCGAGGGUUCCCAGGCUGGGCGUUCGGUGGUUGAGACCUCAAUUGUCUGAUUUUUGGUUGUUGUGGUGUAUUCUGUUGUGCUGUUGUGUGGUAAUGAUCAGCUGUAGUUCUUCCACAGUAUUAUGCUGGAGUAUUGUUGCCAUCAAUACUAUCACAGUAGGGGGCUGCCAAACCAUUUUACAAGUAGUGAAUGUUUAUCUGAGCAGACCAAGGUUGAUGUAUGUCUGUGCACCGAGUUAGAUAGGUUGUUCCUGCGUAUACGUAUGAGGAUGUCGAAGUCCAUCUGCAGAAGCGGCACAACAAAGCACGUCAGAUUGGAAGAAAACGUUGGUGGUUAGCUUGAUGCCAUGUUGGGAUUUAGAGUAUGGUAGGUGACAUUACAAAUGAUGUAUCAGUAUAUAGCAAAGCUCAUUGCUCAUUGCGGUUACUUUUUGGUGUACACUGGUUCUAGGUCAGAAGAAGUUGCGUUGAUAGAAAUUUCGUGAGGUCAUAGAUGUGCAAUAGAGGGGUUAUACCCUUGUACUAGAUGUUUCACUGUAACCUUUUUGAUGCGAGAUGUUUUUCUGUCAUGAGUGUAAACUUGAAUUGCUAACACACUGGUACUUUGACCUGAUGAGCAUUUGACAUGAUUUUGCAGUUUGUGAGAAAGUUGAAGCCAAAGGAAGAACAACAUACAAUGAGGUAUUCUCCAAAGCUCAAACGCGUGUAUCCUUCAUUGAUUGGCCAUGAUAAAUCACUCCCGAAUGUCAUGUUUAAAUAUCAAUGGAGUUUUGCUGUAAUUUUGGAUGGCUUUAUCUAACCUGUAACUGUGCAGUCUGCUUGUGAAGCACGAAGAGCAUCCUGAAUGCCAAUGCAAAAUAAUUAUCCUGCCAUUUAAAUGCUGAAAGGCAUAAAAAUCAAUACUUGUAUUACAUUGCUGCCAUGCCAUUUUUGCUGAUACAUAACACGCCUUUCAAAGAUAUAUGCUUGGGAACUGAUUUACUUUCUCCCCGCUUGAGUCAUUAACUACCUCAACCAGCUACUUUCUAUUACAGGUUGCAGACGAAAUUUAUUCAGAGCUGAAGUCCAUGGCACAUAUUGGUCAAGGGGUUUGUUCCUAUUAUUUGUAUAAUAUGGACUUCUCUGUUCCCUUUUCGCAUAUACUUUAAAAAAAGUUGAAUUAAGAAGCAUGGCUCCCAAUUUCGUUUAGCAUGGAACUGAUACAGAGUGUCGGCCCGCCAAAUGUCAUGGUUCCAGGAAGCUUAUUACAAACAUCCACACGUUUUAGAACCUCUAACCAGCACCGCCACCUUACUGUCUUUGCAACUAUAACGUUGGAACACAACAACCUAGCAGAAAACUGGGCGAUUAAGUUACAGCAAACACUACAACGCUGAAACCAAAGCUAAAUGUCAACAUCACACCGAGAACUUUCAAGUCCAUUUCUCAUCAAACUGCAAAAAACAAAAUCAUAUAUUUAUUUGUUUUUCGCGGGAGAAACAAAAUCAUAUCUGUAAUUGUGCAAAACUUAUGUGCUAAAAGAAAACAAAUUUAUCUUUGUAGUUUGAUGAGAAGAAUAUUAGGCGGAGAGUGUAUGAUGCUUUCAACGUUCUCAUUGCACUUCGUGUUAUUGCAAAAGAAAAAAAGGAGAUACGGUGGAUGGGCCUUUCAAAUUACAGAUAUGAAAAAAUAAAGAAGCUUGAGGUCAGUUUUUGUGCUUACUUUGCAGGUUAGAUGCACAGCAAUCCAUUCCUGUAUGAUUAUGAGUUGAUUGCUACCAUCUUUUUUAUAGGAAGUUCGUAAAGAACUCGUCAACAAGAUUAGGAACAAGAAGGCACUCCUCCAGGAAAUCGAAAAACAGGUAAGUUGCUUACAAUGUGCAGCAACUUUUCUUUGGUUUUGUUGUCUCUUACUACUACCUCCGUCCCAAAAUAUAAGAUGUUUUUGCAGUUAAAAUUGAACUGCAAAAAUAUCUUAUAUUUUGGGACAGAGGUAGUAUUGUAUAUAUAUACCGGUGUAUUUGAUAUCUCCUGAUGAUUCUUUCUUGUUCAUUUAAAGUUUGAUGAUCUCCAAAACAUCAAGUUACGUAACCAAACACUGGAAAGCUCAGCAGAGAAUGUUAAUGGCAUCCGCCUUCCAUUCGUAUUGGUCAAGGUAUUUUUUUUCUUGCGCUGCAACUGUCAGAGAUGCUUAACCCAGCCAGUUGCAACUAAGCUGUAACAUAUAGCUGUAUUUAGAUCACCCUUGUACUCAACUUGCACUCUGGCAUUCCCAUGUUUAUGAUUGCUGACCUAACGUAGCAUAGCAACGUAGAUUAGAACAAACAGUACCAAUGGCGCUACUAUAAAUUGUAUGGUAUUCCUACGCGGUGCUAGGAAUGUCUUUCCCUCAGAUAUGUAGUUACAUAAAACACUGGCAUAUAGAAAGAUCACGAGCAAAAAGAUACGUGCAAGUGUAUUUAAUGCCAUUUUUUCUUUAAGCAGACAUCUAGGAAAGCAAGGGUGGAAAUUGAGAUUUCAGAUGACUCGAAGUUUGCCCAUUUCGAGUUCAAUGGGUAUGUAUCUUUUUUUUUUACAUACUUCUCUUCAUAUUAGCAGUUUGAGCUCCUAACCAGAUGUCCGCAACUCUCUUUUCAGUGCACCAUUCACAUUGCAUGAUGAUCUCUCAAUCCUUGAGGGGGUAAGGCGUAACAGCAUAGGAAGAGCUGGCCGCGCCACCCUUCACUAGAGACUCAAGAAUAUUACAAAUGAAUUAAAAGUGUUAGAACUGGCACAGCCGGAUUCUUUUGCACAGCUAUGUAUAGCUAUAUAUCCUCAUGAAAACUUGACCUAGUUUAUAGGACAGUCUCUCAGGCUUGAGAAGAUUUUAACCUGCAAAUUUUGUCUCCUUUUUGUGCCUAGCAGGUUAUUAGGUCUCAGAUAGAUGAUUCAUAUAUGUGCUGCUAUGAAAACAUUGAUAGCAGCUUCGGUGCACAAGCUUCGUUGANNNNNNNNNNNNNNNNNNNNNNNNNNNNNNNNNNNNNNNNNNNNNNNNNNNNNNNNNNNNNNNNNNNNNNNNNNNNNNNNNNNNNNNNNNNNNNNNNNNNNNNNNNNNNNNNNNNNNNNNNNNNNNNNNNNNNNNNNNNNNNNNNNNNNNNNNNNNNNNNNNNNNNNNNNNNNNNNNNNNNNNNNNNNNNNNNNNNNNNNNNNNNNNNNNNNNNNNNNNNNNNNNNNNNNNNNNNNNNNNNNNNNNNNNNNNNNNNNNNNNNNNNNNNNNNNNNNNNNNNNNNNNNNNNNNNNGAUGAGUGAUGCUCGGUGCACACUCCAGUGCCGCAUCCCUGAUCAGUGUCAUGAAGGUGAAGGUAUGCAAAUUGCUCGACCUUGCCUGUGUAAUCAGGUAGUAAAUCAGUAGCAAGAUUAUCGAUACUUCUUCCUUCUAAGCUCACCUGACAUAAUGCUGAGAGCUGAAAGAAAUGUCCCUUCAAGCUGCAUUUGCUACUUGGUAUUCCCUCCGUUCUGAAUUACUUGUCUUAGAUUUGUCUAGAUACGGAGGUAUCUAGCACUAAAAUGAGUCUAGAUACAUCCGUAUCUAGACAAAUCCAAAGACAAGUAAUUCGGAACGGAGGGAGUAGGUGAUAAAUUUCGUCUGUGAUUUAGAAAUUGCUAAUACAGAGUUCGGAACAUAUAGUCACCAUAAACAUCUGGAUCAUUGGGUUUUGAAUGGGCCCCCUCCCCCUUGAGAUUAGACAGCGGCGAGCUCGAGCCGAGGAUGACGUCAGCCGAGGACGCCAUGACGUCGCCGCCAGUGGAGGAAGAACCUUGACGGGUUUGGGGAUUAGGUUUUAAGCUUGAGAAGAUAAACCAAAGUUGUGGGAUGUCAAUCCAGCGGCGCAGAAGUUUCCAAGAAUCCGACGGCGAAGUUCUUUUAGAGCAUCGGUCUUGAUGAACAAAUCUGCGCCCCUAUAUGUCUGCAGACAUGAGCCGGCCGGCCCUCAUUUGUCUGUGUCCGCAGUUUUGAACCAUCAAUUCCAUGCAACGUGGAUUCGGCCUUCGUACAAAGAUCGAAAAGAGAACUAUACUCGAUAGAGAACCAAACUUCCUACUCCUAGUUCAAGGAGAUGUCGAUGCCCGCCUUGCCGGAGCUGCGGGCCUCGUGGUCAUUGACGGUGGGGCGAAUCUUCGGCAUCUCCUCCUCCCCAUUGUUGUCCGCUAAGAUCCGCUCCCAUCUCAUGUCGCGGAGGUGGAUAAGCCACCUCCCGCUCGGACUGGAGCGAGUCAAGGAUGGCCUGGUUUUCGGCCACGAGGCCUGAAUCGGUGACAAGCGUAGCGAAGGCAGCACCCGCUUGCUCUGCCUCCAACUGUGCCUCCGCCGCGAGGUGCUCCACCUCCACCACAUCGGCUUGGGCGAGGUAGAAGCUCUUAGGCACCUGAACGCAUGUUGACUAAUGAUAAAUCAUCGCCAGGUCAGUGUUCGAGACGCUAGGAGGACAAAUGCAAACCUGUGAACCUCGAGAUAUGUUAGCAGUUAGCACGACCAAGCCAAGAGCGUUUAAAUCACUGAAUAGAGUGGGUCAAAGAUAUCAUGCUACCUAGCACAGUAAUAAUGCAAAUAUCAUGUUUGAUAUGAUGUGUUUGUAUUAUUACUGUUACUCUUACUAGUAUCAUCUACUACUACCACGACUAUUACUGCUACUAAUACUUUUCAAACGAGGUCGCGUUGACAUAAACAGUAUUGAACCAGUCUUAGGUGGCCCCAGUUAAGAGAAAUGUCAUCUCUUUUUUCAAGAAAAAACAAAGGACCUUUGCGGUUCAUUGCAUUGAAAAGAUAGGAGUACGGUUACAAUCCUCCUAGGAGGUGGGUUUUACAGAACCAACAGUCUAUGUCAUCUCUUGAUAAUCAAUCUUGUGCGAAUGUUUAAAACAGAGGAGGGUCAGGUAGGAACAAUCUAAAAUAUACUGUGUCUAAUACAAGUUCACUAGGGUCAUGUCUGUAAAGAUAUGAAAAUGGUACCAAACCAAGGGAAUCUUAAAACCAUCUCAUAAGAAAGCUUCGUAGUAACAGGCCUAGAGCAAUACAUCGCUCAGGAAGGAUUAUACUGUAUGUCUUUUCGAGGGUCGUAUUUUCUGAUUGGAGUACAAAAGAAAACAGAUGUGAGAGAUGCAUAUCCAUUUCACAAUGGAAGAAGGUAAUGAGAGAAAGUAUAUAUACUGAACAUACUAUCUCUAGCCGAAGAUAUCUGCAUACACCAUACAAGAGGUAUAUUCAGUUUGAAGUUUUACAACAGAGGGAAUGUAAGACAAGCAAUGGCCCAAUUCUGUGCCAGAGCAUAGCAAGCACAUAAACACAGUAGCCAGUACCAGAACACUUGCCAUGGGGAAGACCUGGCAGUCUAUUGAGCUCGUUCAAUAACAUAUGCUGCCCAAAAUUGGCAAGAUGUGAUGAAAGAAAAACUGCUGCAAUUUACGAUGAUGACUCCCCCAGAAACUAG